RNAcentral lists this long non-coding RNA (82633 nucleotides) under Musa acuminata (dwarf banana). RNAcentral describes it as "long non-coding RNA (MACU_LNC005013)". Lineage: Eukaryota; Viridiplantae; Streptophyta; Magnoliopsida; Zingiberales; Musaceae. The record is from RNAcentral.
GCAAUAACAGGUCUAAUUUUAUUGUGGGCCUUAUCACCUUCUCUGUUUUCUUCUAUUUUUCCUAGAAACUAACGUCAUCAAGAUUUCAGAAAAAAAUCUGUGGUAAUUUCACAAGAUAUACUAGUAUUUGUUCAAAUGUGCUGUGACUGUACAGGCUUAAUGCCCUUUUUCUUGUUUUUAUUUUUGCUCAUCUUUUUCUUUUAUUCUUAAUAUUGUUUCCAUGUUCAUUAAUAUGUUCAAGUAGUUAUAACUCGACUUUCAAAUUAAGGGUUCUCAAAUGCUGCAUUUACAAGAGUAGCAGCAAAAUGCAAAAGUUGGAGCGUAGGUUUGGUUGUGUUCUUGUGGGAUCUAUCUAACGAAUCAUUUGAAUUUGUAUCCUUGAUUCCCUUGAUGAAGGAAACUCUUAUCCAAGUACCUAAGCUAAAACUAAUUAAAUGAAAUAUCUGUUUUUGUGAGGGUUUUAACUCAAAACUCCCCAGCAGCUUAGAAUUGGGUAGGUGCAGUCCUGUUGACCCUUCAGAUGUUGGGAUGUUAACCUGUACUCUGAAGGAAUAAAACAGGGGCAUGGCCAUUUGGCUUGCCAUUUAACGUGCUUUCCUUUUAAAAGGUCUAGUAUAUGACAACCCUUUCCUAUAUGUUUUCUUUAGCUUGAACGAGCCAUUCUUUCUCACCAAUAAAAGACUGAUCAGUUAUCUGAAAAUUGUCUUUCUUGUACAUUAAACUUGUAAUUUAUGAAUCAUGGAUAUCGCUACUGUAUAUCACUACAACAUGAUGUGGAUACAUCCAUUCAAAAAAUUGAAAACAGAAAGAGAGAUUGUGACAUUAAUAUGAUAAUAGAAAUAUUUUUAUUAUGUAAUAUUGUAUAAUGCUGUUUGCAAUUUACGUCAUGAUAAAUAAUGACAGUUUAUUAUCUAGCAUCCUCGUACCCAUAUAAAAGAAAUUUAUAUAGUAAAUUGGUAUUUCAACAAUGUAGAAAAGACAACAAGAACCUUUGACAAAUGGAGCAAGAUCACUGUUUCGGUGACAAUUAUUUGCAAAUCAAUGCCUAAUACGAAGAACGUAAGAUAGUAUAUGAAACCAUAUAGUUCAUUUAAAAUUAGAAGACCAACAUCUAAACAAAGCAAAGUUAUAUGAAAAAGUAUCCAUGAAGUAUUUCUGAGUGUCCUAACUGAUGACCCUUUUUAAAGAUUAAAAAAUGUAUAAUUCAAGGCUCAAGCAGGUAUCCAACAUAUGCUUAACAAUUAUCUCACACACAUCCAAUAUGGAUAUAGAAGCAAUUCAAAGUGUUCAUGUUUCAAGGAUUAUGCUUUGCUACUUUGAGUUGAGGCGUAUUACAUAGAUCCAAUCAAAUAAGUAACUGCAGCUAUUAGUUGCUCUGAGUCUUGUUUCUAUUUUCUUGAUCAGGGUUGUGAAUAUAUGGCAAUGACCAUUGUUAUUCUACCUUGUCUUAAGGUUUCUGACGUGUGCCUAAUAUGGGUUUAAUAUUUGUUUGCACUUCAACUGUAGGUUUAUUCUUAUGAUUAUAUCUUGUGAUGUGGUCAUACUAGAGUUACUUUAUUUAUUUUUUGAUAGGUUAUGCUGGGUGUUGACCGUCUUGACAUGAUCAAGGGGAUUCCGCAAAAGAUUUUGGCCUUUGAAAAGUUCCUAGAAGAAAAUCCAUCAUGGCGUGACAGAGUAGUCUUGCUGCAAAUUGCUGUUCCAACAAGAACUGAUGUCCCUGAAUGUAUGUACUAUGUAUCAUGUUAUUCAGUAGUUUGUGUGAUUCUACAUGGUAGCAGAGAUUUCUUAAGAAAUUUGUCCUUGGCCCCAAUACUAUUCUUGUUUACUUUGCUUGGUACCAAUACUAUUCUUGUUUACUUUCUCAUCAAGUUUCCUUUUCUCAUAGCUACAUGGAACUAGGAGUAGAUUCUAUGUAUACUUUGUUUUGUAUGAUUUUACUUAUGAAUUCAACACUCUUUUAAAAAGGGUCUACAUCGAGCAGGGAUUGCCAUGACCAGCAUGAGUCAUGACAUAUUGUUCUAGAAGGAUAUUGUUAUGCAUCAUGCUGGCCUUUGUUGGAGGACCUGACUUAUGGCUUGGCCAACUUUUGUCCCAUACCAACUCGCAGAUCAGGAUACUGAUCCAUAUGGCACAAGAUCAUGUUGUGCUCUGUUCCAUGAAAUGACUAUCUGUCAAGCACUUAGAUUCCUCAGAAUAUGCUCGUGUAUUUUACAACAUUCUUGAUGCAUUUUGAUUACAUCGAACCUCAACGUGUCAUGGGAAAGGAGAUUAGAGGUAUUUAUGUUGUAUAUGUGAAAAUUUGUGAAAGACUAAUGUGCUAAGACAUUCAGUAAUUCUCAAUCAACCAUUCAUACAACUAGAGCGCAAAGAACAACAGGUUAGAUGUUUAGGUUCAGAAACUUGACAUAUGGCUCAUAUACUUCUUGCCCACAAAUUUAGUUAUUUUAAAUCAACCAUGCAUACAAUUUGAAAUGGAGUAAUCAUCAUAUUAUAUUGAGUAACCCUUUUAUAGUGGCAUUAGAACUCUCUUACCACUGAUAUUUUUUCCAAAAUAUUAGACUUCUAAUAUCACAUCAAUUUUCUGAUAGUUACUUUUAUCAUUGGACAUUUUCAUAUGCAUUAUCAUCCAUUUGUUAUCUUGCAGAUAUUGUAAUAGUUAUACUUUUAUAGCUAUUUUAGUCAUUAUUUUUGUACUUCUAAAUUUCUGAUUGUAUGAACUAUGAAGUUAUAUGUUGAAUUGCAUGGGUGUACCAAUGUACUGCAUUGAUUUUAUUCUAAUCUUUGGCAUGUCUAAUUUUUGUAACAUUAUUUCUUAAUCAAGGUUUAAAAUUCUUGCAGGCAUAUGUCCAUUGUAUAUUAUGUUUGUUCUUGUACUGGUAAUGGAGGAAUGUAAUUGAUGGAUUCUAGUUUUCCAAAGAUUUAUCUAGUAUGAUGUGAAAUUUAUAAGUUUAUAUUUCUGAUGAUACUAGUGGUUUAUUGUCUUUUUCCUGCUUCUUGCAUCAUAUCAGAUUACAAACAGUAACUCUCAUAGGAAGUUGAGGGCAACAUGAAUCUAAAUUUAUAAUGAUUAUGUUUUCGUAUAUCCCAAGUGUUGAUAAUGUAGAAGAAACAAUCUAUGCUUCAUUGAUUUUCUGGUUCAAGGCAACUGGUUCUAAAUUACCUUUUGUUAAACAGAUCAAAAGCUUACUAGCCAGGUUCAUGAAAUUGUGGGUCGUAUAAAUGGCCGAUUUGGAACACUUACUGCUGUUCCGAUACAUCAUCUGGUUUGUCCCAACUGCUAUCCUUAUAGUUUUUACCAUCUCAUGUUUCUUUAAUCUCCUUAUUCAGUUGAAUUGUGGAAAAGAAUCUCAGUUUCUUUACUGGCGUUACAAUUUGUAGGAACUGUUCUAUAUUGACACUAUAAUUAUUACUGUUGCUCACUGCAGUGCUUGAGAACUGUGGGUUUUUCCUUUAUCUCAGUAUCCUGAUAAAUUUUUACCAUUAACAGAUUUGGAAUUGCUUUUAAACAUCAAUUCUGUUAACUGGUUAUCUCUGCUUUUUAGGUUGUUGAGUAGCAAGCAUUUACCUUUAUUAUGGAACCAUGAGAAUUGUAGGUUGGUUAAGCGACCAAAGGAGUGAAAGAAUGACGAGUAUGAAGCGAAGAUUGAUGGUAGGAAGGACUGACUAAGAAGACAUAUAGGAGAAUGGAAGAGGAGGUAUCUAGAAAAAGUCCCAGAAAGGUUUAGAAGUACGUAAGAUUUCACUUGACCUGGGUAGGUGCUUUUUGCCUAAUGGGUCAGAUGCCAGCUCUAACACAAACUGACAAAGCUUUGAACAGGUACAUAGAUUAAUUGUUUGAAUGACACUAUAUGGCAUAUAUGCUUUUGAGGUGUGCAUAGUUGAAAAUAUUCAUAAAGGACAUUUAUGUUAAUAUUCUUGUACAAGGUAUGCAAUUUCGUAUCGUACCGGAGUUUCGACGUUCGCUCGGUACGGUACAAAACCGUAUACCGAGCGGUAUAUAUAUAUAUAUAAAUUUUAUUUUUAUUUUCGUUCCGCCCGGUAACGGGCGGUCCGUGUACCGAUAAGCUGACGAACCGAUACGUACCGCCCAUAUCGGGUGGUAUUAUUCGAAAUUGCAUAUCUUGUUCUUGUAUACCUGAAGUUCUGACCUAUAUGUUUAGUGACUGAAAUAACAUGAUGCCUAGAAAACAGACAAGUUCAAACCAUGGUGUGCAACUCUUAUUUUAUCAACCUGUGUGCCAGAGACAAACUUGUUGGAAUUAUUAUACUAGAGGAUACUUGAUCAAUUAUAACCAUCAAUAGAACAUUCUAAACAAUAAUAUGGUAUGUGCACAUGUAAAGAUAAAUGUGGAUAGUUAAACUUUUAAAAGGCUUUUUUAUUACUUAGAUGCAGUAAUUUAAAAAGGUGCUCGGGCGAGGCGAGGCUUCAGCACCUCGUUUAAGGGCUAGGCGGCGCACUUCAAAGAGGCGUGCCUGGGCACUCACCUGAGACCAAGCGUCGGGCACUUCGGGCGAGCGCCCGGUUCAAUUAAGCAAACCGAACCAGACUUUUAAGUUUGGUUUGGUUAAAUAAUGUAUUUCUUACCUCAAAAGCCAUCCUUCACGCUCGUGCGACCUUGAGGAACCCUAGCGCUACUUCUGCCUCUGCCGUCGAUGCUUUCUGCCAUUGUCGUUGUACUAUCUGCAGCUUUCACCACUAUUGUCCGCAGCUUCCGUCGUUGUCGUUGCUGCUGUCCGCAGCUUCCAUCGCUACCGCUGCUGCUGUCCGCAGCUUCCAUCACUACCAUUGCUGCUGUCUGCAGCUUCUACCGUUGCCGCCGCCGCUAUUCAUAGCUUCCACUCUUGUCGCUACUGUCGUUCGCAACAUUGCCGCAACAACCUUAAACUAAUCCUCUGUUACCGGUAACAUUUUUUCUCUCUUCUAACUAUUGUUAACAGUAAGUAAUAUACUAUUAACAGUAUAUUUUUAAUUUAAUAUCAUAUUUUUAUUUAAAUAAUUAUAUUUUUAUUUAAAUAAAAAUAUUUUUAUUUAUUAUAUAUUUUGUAUAUUUUAGUAUUUUAGAGCGUCUCGUUUUGCUCGGGCGAGCGUCGAGCGCCUAGCACCUCGGGCGUUUUGGGACCUUGGCGCCUUUUGGUGCCUAGAACUUUUUAAAUUACUGUCUAGAUUCCUAUGAUUGAUUGCAUCUUAAAAUUGCUUUAUGAUGGAUUGAAUAACUAAUACCUAUAUAUCAAUGAUUAAAUUACAAUAAAAUACUCUUUAAGUCUUAUAUGAAUAUAAGCUUAUCUUGCAUGAAAUCAUACUCUGGCAAGAUCAAUGUCUCUUUUUAUCCAUUAAAGGGAGAUGGCGACCUUAUGCUCGAACCCUCUAGAUCAAUUGGUUGCCUGCUAGUAAUCGUAACGAAGUGUUGAAAAAAGAAAACGCAAUCUUUUCAUCAUGCCAAAUAGACAGGAUAAGAAUACUUUUAAUAUCUAAAUAUAUUAGUGUCAAGAUUAUGUGGUGGUUGAUUCUUGUUACUGAGAAAAACAUUCACGGGAUACUUUGUUCUGUCACUGGAAUAUUAAAUUUUAUGUACCUUUGGAAAUUUAUUUUGUUCCCACAACUAGUUGGGAUCAUUUAACAUGGCUGAGAAUUUUCUUCUGAGUUUGUCAACUUAUUACUUGCUAAUAAACAAGUUCCUAAUACUUUUAAUAAGAGCAUUAACUUGUAAUUUUAAGUUUUGAGAAUUCAAUAGCUUUUUGCUUUUUCUUUUUCAAAGUAAACUAUGUGACACCUAAGUGUUAGCAAGUACUGAAUUAUUUUCACAAUGCCUUUAUAUUGUUUAAGAAUGUAGAUUAUCUUGUUCCCUUCCUGCAUUGAACUAUCUGUUAUUAAUAUUUUACAGGGGAGGUAACCAUAGACAACUCGAUGAAUUAAUAUAAUUUGGCAACCGGCUUUUUAUAUACUUGAACAAUAUCAUCGAUAGUUGAUUAUGACCUUGCAAGUUCUCAUGCAUGAAAUUAAAUGUUUGGAAAUGAAAAUUUUAUUUUUGAAAAAAAAUUAAUGUAUAGUAAAAUUGUUGAGCUUAUUUGUGAAGUAUAAGUUGGAACUUCUGAAAGCAUGAAUACAAAUAAGAAGAAACCAUAUUAAGAAAGCAUAUUUUAUUGCAAAGGUUGAUGGAACUCAUUCAUGCAUGGAUUUUUCGAUCCACAUCAUCGCGUCCUGCAAAGGGUGGUCAGGCAAAGUUGUCACCAUUUUAAGUAUUUGCUGAUGGCCCCUCACAUGCUGGAAUCCAUAACCUGGGGCCUGGGCCCACCCUUAUCACUACAUGGGUGCUGUUUGUCAGAUUAGAUGCACAGUAAUAGGUCCACUCCUUCCUCAUACCCCCUUUAAUAUUUACUGCUAUAGUUUUUUUCACAAAGUUCCUAAUCAUAACAUGUCUGCUCAUCUUUUAGUUACAGCUCUUAACAGUUUCUUUAUUUAAGUCUUGUGUAUCAUUUGUUUGUACUAUGAAAAGACUAAUGUCUUCUAAUAUAAGUUAUACUUUCUUGCAGGAUCGUUCUCUUGACUUUCAUGCAUUAUGUGCUCUAUAUGCAGUUACCGGUGAUCUUUUUCCCCUUGAAAAUUGCUUCCACUUGAUCUUACAAUGCAAUUUUUCCCCCUUGUAGUGUAUGGAGGAUAAAAUAAUAAUCUUGAUGUAGAUAUAACUUGAUCAAGGUCAUGUUGAAACCAUUCAUAUCCUCCAAUUGGCAAAUUGUUGUUGUAUCUUGUGUAAGAUAUAAUAUAUUUAAUUAAAUUGAUUCCUUUUGGUUGAAUUAUACCUUUGACUUUAAAGUAUACAGAUAGUGUUUAUUCUUCCAUAAUUGCCUCAAAAUCUGUCUGAUAUCUUAUUUAUAUCUUCUUGCUUGCUGUAAUUGUCCUUCGCUAUGAAUGAUGUGACAUUUUGGUUAAAUUUCAUCUUAUGCUUUUUAUCUAUGGUCUUCGUUGAAGUUUAAUUGGCAUAGAAAACUCUAGCUGAUGCAUUUUGUUUUAUUUUUAUUAUUUAUUACUUUAGUACUUUAUUAACCUAACAUAUAUUGACUUUAAUUGUUUUCUAUGGAUUAUGCUUUUGAAGUGGCUUCUGUUCAUCAGUCAAUGUGAUUCAUGUUUCCUUUCUUCCAGAUGUGGCUUUAGUAACAUCAUUGAGAGAUGGGAUGAAUCUUGUAAGCUAUGAGUUUGUAGCAUGCCAGGGCUCAAAGAAAGGAGUUCUCAUUUUAAGUGAAGUAAUUUCAGAAUCUAAAGUUUUUCACAAUUUUCUAGCAUUUGUCAGUGUUAAUUUUCUCCUCUCACAUCCUAGUUGCAACUUUAUAUUACCUGUAUGAAUUGUUGCAAUGACAGGUUCCUUGUCUUUUGUUGCAUACUGCUGUGAAAAAGUUUCUCAUCUGAUAAUGGUAUUGACUGUUUGUGUUUGCCAUGGCAUCUUUUAUGGUGUUAUUAAGUCUUUUCUUUUUCAAAUAAUGUUUUAGAUGUUGCUUUACAGCAACAUCAGUUACAUCCAGGUUUUUUCUUAUGUAUCAUAUCUUAUUAGGACCAUGAAAUAUGAAACAUAGAUAGGAGGAGGUUUUUUUAAAAAAACUAAACAACCAUCCUAGAAGAUCUUUUGAGUGAAAUAUCCCAGGUGAUUUAUGCCUACCUAGUUAUUGUGAUUUUACAAUUGAUAUUGUUGCUUACUAUUGAUUGGUGUUUUGGGACAAUUUUGAAAAUUAGAAGUUCCUGUUUCAUCAGUUCCAUUGUCCCUUGCACACUGAAAACAGAAACUUCGCUUUACAGAACGAAUUGAUAUGCAAUAUUUCUCUGGAAAAAACAUUGAAGUACUUGACCAUAUUUCAUAAGUAUCAUUUUAUAAAUGGGUAAAAGUGAGAAAAGGAUGCCGAAUGGAUUCAGUAUGUCAAGUACUCUUAGAACCAACUUUCUUUACCUUCAGGUUUCCAAGUAUAGACAACAAAGAAUUUCCAACUUUGCUAAUUUAACUGUCUUACCCAUCAGUGGAUCUUGCUACUCUUAUUAUGUGUAAGCAAGCUUGUUCAGGUGCUUAUUAUUAGUUUCUUAGAUUCAAUGUGUACUGAUUUAUUAAUUCUUUCCAUCUGCUUUACUUAUCCUGCUUUGCUUCUCUAGUUUGCUGGAGCAGCACAAUCCCUGGGGGCUGGUGCACUUCUAGUAAAUCCAUGGAACAUCACAGAAGUUGCAGCAUCUAUAGGAUAUGCAUUGAACAUGUCUCCUGAUGAGAGAGAGAAGCGGCACAGGCAUAACUAUGCACAUGUGACCACACACACUGCCCAAGAUUGGGCAGAAACCUUUGUGAGGUGUGGAUUGGCUUAAAUUUUAAGGUUAUAAUUUGUGUUACUGUACAGGAUAAUAAUGGAGGACAAGCAUGUUAUCUUGUAGUUGAAGUUUAAACUAAGAGAUUUGCGUAUUUAUUUUGUAGUUGAAGUUCAAACUAUCCAGGAUAAGCUUACAAAACAUAAUAGUUCUUUUCUAGUCUACAGUUAACUACAUAAAAAAAAUUUAUUGGCUUACAACUUUUCGCAAUUAUGUUCUUCUUUGGCCUGAAUUUGCAUGCUUUAUUUAAUGACUUAUUUUAGCAGUUGUUAUUAGCAAAACAACUGUCAUUUAAUAUGUUAAUCUUUAUCCAGAAUGACUAUAUCUUCUCUCUUAGGGUGCUAAUUGAGGAACGUAUUAGAUUUCAUGGUUGAUUAAGUGAUCAUCAGUUUUUAUUUUAUCCCAUGUUUGCAUUUGGAUCUUCUUUAUAUCCUAUUAAAAGGCAUGCCUUUUUGUACUUAUUUCAGAUAGAUUGCACCAAGUAUACCUUAUAUCUUGUAUGCCUUUUAGAUUAUUUUGACUAUUUCUUUGUUUGCUAUAGCGAACUCAAUGAUACCGUUGUUGAAGCUCAGCUUAGAACGAGACAAGUUCCACCACUACUUCCUACCCAUGUUGCUGUUGAACGGUACUCGCAGUCCAAGAAUCGAUUGCUCAUUUUGGUAUUCUUCUCUUUGUGUUUGUAGUUUCUUUUUUUGAUAAAUGAUGAGAUCGUCAUUUUCUUUGUGUUUCUUUUUCUUGUGUUGCAUAGAUAUCAUAGUGCACCUGCUAGUUUCUGAAAUACUCUGCUUAUGUAGAUGCUACUGGUUAAAGUUCUUGUAAUAUGAACGUAUAUGUAAAAAUAAUUACUGCUUGCCAUGGAGUUGUAAUGCUGUAGCAGUUUCCCAUUGCUAGCUCCAGAAAGAACUAUUUUUUGAUAUACCUUUCAGUGUGUUCUGUUUUUAUACAUCACUGUCAGAUGUGGAACGAGAAGACUGAUAAGUUAUUCUAACAUGGCGAUUUGCGUUGCUCAUCCUGAAGUUUCAAGUGAUUUAUUUAUAAAAUAGUUCAAAGAUUGCUGCAUCAAUAUUGUUAUCAUCUCUUCUUGUAAUUUGUAAUAUAAAAGAACAUAAAUUGGUCUUCAUCUUUUUGCACAGUUUUUGUUGUUGGUCUUCAUCUUUUUGCACAGUUUUUGUUGUUGCCAUGCCAAUCUUUAUUCAUCUAGAGAACAUAUUGGUCUUCAUCUUUUUGCACAGUUUUUGUUGUUGCCAUGCCAUUACAUCGGAUUAUAUUCAUCUCUGUACCAAGUGAAAGUUAGUAUAUUAGAUUUUUUUUUUAGGUGCUUGUGACGCAAGAUAACGGUAACAUUUAAUAUUUUGAUCUUGAUUUAGCUUUUCUAUGUUUAAAAAUUCAUAAAAGCAAUUUUUUGUAGAAUAUAGAAUUUGGACAUUAAGCAGUAAGUGAACUAGCGAAGUGCCAAUAGCUAGCUAUUGCUCACUUUUAGUUCAAAGCAGCUUGGUAUCAUAAUUGUCAGUAGAAUUUUUUUUUUUCUGCUUUGGUAGAAACUUAAAUAUUUUGAUUUUUUGACAUAAAACUUCUUUAUAAUGAUCUCAGUUUCUUGUCCAUCUUUUGUUGCCUGAUCAUAGGGUUUUAAUGCAACUUUGACUGAAUCAAUUGAAUCUUCUGGAAGAAGAGGUGGUGAUCAAAUAAAAGAGAUGGAGCUUAAGUUGCAUCCGGAUUUGAAAGCGCCUCUGACAACUCUUUGCAAUGAUGUAUUGACAACAGUAGUUGUUCUCAGCGGAAGUGACAGAAGUGUCUUGGAUGAUGUAUAUUCUUACUAGGACUGUUUGAUAUUUUUCAUUAAUUUGUUUUACAAAUAACUUCAUUACUUUUCCACAGAACUUUGGAGAGUAUAAUAUGUGGCUUGCAGCAGAAAAUGGGAUGUUCUUGCGUCACACAGGUGGUGACUGGAUGACAACAAUGCCGGAGCAUUUAAAUAUGGACUGGGUUGACAGUGUGAAGGUAUUUCUAAUGUUCAUGUGUCUCUUUCUUUCCAAAUCUUUUGAUGAACUAGAAAUGGAUGCUGACUGAAACUUUGCAGCAUGUAUUUGAGUAUUUCACUGAGAGAACGCCCAGGUCUCAUUUUGAGCAUCGUGAGACAUCUCUUGUCUGGAAUUACAAGUAUGCAGGUAGUUUCUUAAUAUGUUGAACUGCUUGCUUGCCUAAAAAAUGUUAAACUGGUCAUGGUUUCAUUCCUGGUACCUCUCUUUCCUGACCUUGUUCUUUUUGGCAGAUGUGGAAUUUGGAAGGCUUCAAGCACGAGAUAUGUUGCAGCAUUUGUGGACAGGCCCAAUUUCAAAUGCAGCAGUUGAUGUUGUCCAAGGUAGCCGAGCAGUGGAGGUUCGAUCUGUUGGUGUUACAAAGGUGUGACAAUGUCAACAAUAUGCUUUCCUUCAUUAAUAACACUAUCAAAUUCUUUGUGAUGCAGUAAAUCUGUUCCUAUUGGUAUUUGGAUGAAUGAAUCUUUCUGAUUGAAUUCAUAAUAGGAUACAGUGUGCUGAAAUAAAAGUAGUAUUUUUUUUCUCUAAUCAGUUUGAAAUUUCUUUGAGCUAUUGUGGGCAUAAUGGGUCUUUUACCUGCUGUUAGUAUUGCAAUGCAAAGUUACACAUUGAUGUAAAGCUGAUCAUGUGUCAAACAGAUUACAAACUGCAACCAGUCAUACAUAACAAUAAAUUACAUGACAUAAUUUUCUAUUUUAUUAUGUGCUCUUUAGGACUUGUGUAAAAGUUACUGUUGCUUAUGCUUAUCAACCAGGCACAUGAGUGUGCUGAUGUAACAUCAUUUUGCAACUGUUUGUUAGAAUUUAAUGAUUUUUAUUGGUGCCUAUGUAUUCGGAAAUGCCAAUAUGUUCUUUUUUCUCUGUUUUCAUGUUAUUUCAAUACACAUCAUGCAUAGUUUUUCACUAAUCAAAAUAUGUAGACUUGUACAUUUUUGGUUUUGGUAAUCUUAGCAAGGCUCGAUGGGCUCAUCCAUUUAUUUGCUAAAAAAGGAUAGAAAAUAUGGAAUAUCAUGUAUAGCUUAGAUUUUGUCGACUGUCUCAGCAGCCAAAAUAAUAGAUGACGGUGUGAGAUCCAAAAUAUGCCUUAAGAAGCUCAUUAUUUGUUGUGUUGCUUCUUUUCUGUACUUGUGCAGGGUGCUGCAAUUGAUCGAAUACUGGGAGAAAUAGUUCACAGUAAAAGUAUGGUUACACCUAUCGAUUAUGUUUUAUGUGUUGGCCAUUUCCUUGGGAAGGUAACUUUUCUUAGACAUGUUGGGAUUGCACAAUGAUCUUCUAUGUGAUAGUUUUGCUUUCACCGUUAUUUCUCUGACAUUCCUUUUUUCGUUUAAUUGUUGGCUGAUGACAUUUAAAAUGGUAGAACAAGAUUUAGAUCUUUGUUAUUUAGAAUUGUGGAAAGACUAGUACCAAGUUGCCCUGGUGUAUAAUCAAAGAUUUUAGUCAGUCAGCACUACUCAAAGUGAUUUAUGAAGUCAAAUAUGGUUCAAAGGUGUCGAGAAAUAAUAACUAUGGCCCAUUAGUGCCUUUUAUAUUAAUUUCUUGUGUUAGUCAGCCUUUGCUACUUGUGAAAUUAAAUCAAACUUGUGCAAGGCCUGCAAUAUUUGCUUUUGUCUUUGUAGUAUCUGUUUUCCUGCUCUUCGAAUGACUGAAGAUAAUAAAAUAUUCAGAUUCUAACAAGGUAUUUCUUCUAUGUAUUUGCAGUUUCUAGAAGCUAGGUAGUUUCUAUUCAAGAUUGGUGGCAGGGUAUAUUGUAGUAUACAGUUAUUUGCUGUCUAACCACGGAUGUAGAUAUUAGGUGAUACGAUGGUUGUCCCAUCCAGUCAUUAGCUGAUAGUUAGAUUGGGUUGGUAACAUGUUAUGUUGUAGCAUACAGCUAUUCCUUGCCUAACCAUUCGGUGCAGGAAAGAACAUUACCAUGGGUUUCUAUGGCUGGGGCAGGAAAUGGAUUGGAUCCAAAUCAGAUUGGGUUUUGAUUUUUAUCCAAUCCAGUUCAAAUCAGAUAGGGGUUCUUUCUAUUGGAGUUUGGGUUUGAAAUUCAAUUUUGGAUGUGAUAUAGUUAUGGAUACAAACUCUAACAUCUAGGAAGCAUACACAUCAUCUAUGGUAUUUAAUAUUAGAUCUCAGCUUUGUAAGCAAAGAUUUCAUGAACUAUGCUUCAUUGUAAGCACCAAUGCAAGAACUUUGAAUCCCCUUGUCUUGAUAGAUACCUGUUAUUUUGUCUUUUCUGGCUGUUGAAGUCAAGUUGUUCGAACUUAUGCUUCACUUUGGUGUCGCACAUUAUUGUUUUUUCUCUCGCUUGAAGUUCCAGGUUAUUAUUAUUUUUAUUUUUUCCCUGCAUAUUUUUUAUGGAUGGUAGCCAUGCACAAAAGAAGGAAAAGAACACACAUACCUUUGAGACUAUUUACUUAUACUAAAGUACUCUGCUUGGCAUCCAAUACAAAUUUAUGAACAAGUUAGGGGCAGCCUUUACAAGAUAAUAAUCACAAAGUGUCAUGCUGUAGAUCAUGAUUUUCUAUUUCAUUCUGGUUCCUCAGGUAGCUUUAAGUGCCUCUGCAAUCCAUUUCAGUUGCUUAUGGAUGAUCUGUAGAACCAUCAUAAAUUUAUGGUGGUGCUUCUGAAACAUUAAGUUAUGAUGUUAUACCAGUGAUAAAUAAAUUGAUAAUAAACAGCUUACCGAUGUGAAAUUUGUGUUUUUGGCUGUUCUUUUAGUGGCUUUCCAUUUUGAACUUUUUUUAAAAUUUAAUCACCUACAUCAGCUAGAGAAUUCAGUUCUCAUUAUUAAACUUUGAAAUGAAGAACGUUAAAUCAUGAUUUUGAUGUAUAAAAUCUGGUUCGUGUUUGGCAGGAUUGUUGAAUAGCAUCUCUCUCAUAAUUGACAUGCCUAGCACAAUAUCUUAUCACUUAUAAAGAUUGUUUCUCUGCUGCAGGAUGAGGAUAUUUAUACUUUCUUUGAACCAGAGCUUCCAUCCGAACCAGUAAGUUCCUCGAGAACGAAAAGUGACACCGGUAAACCAUCAACUACUGACAAGAGGUCGACGGGAAGAUCAACCAUAAAGAACAACUCAAGGGGAUCACAUGUUAAGUCUCAAAGGGCUCCAGUCGGAUCUGAAAAGAGGAUGUCAACAAAUCACAACAUACCAGCUGGAUGGCGGUCUCCUCAAGAGACCAUGUCAUGGCGCGAGGGGUCAUCCGUGCUUGAUCUUAAGGGCGACAACUACUUCUCAUGUGCUGUUGGGCGGAAGCAUUCAAAUGCAAGGUAUCUGCUAAACUCAUCUGAUGAUGUCGUAUUCUUCCUCGGAGAGUUGGCUGAGGCGGCUCAUCCCGCUGCUUAUUUUUACCCCAGGAAUGGUGAUGUAACCAUGUAGGUAGAUAAUAGAUUUGUUUUAAUAUAUAUUUUUUUUCUCUUUCCAAAAGUAAAUCUGUAUUGAUUCAAAACUCUGGAAUAACCAAAGACUUUCUCUCAUCAGAGAAAAUAGAAAAUGGCUCGGGAGGCCAGAUAUCUCUCCAAAGCUGAUCAGUUUCUUAAGUUCUUUGCACGGACAGCAAGCUGGUGGUGCCCACACCUAUGUAUUAUGUAUUUUUCUAGGUGCAUGGAAAUUUUUUACAGACUGAAACCUGUCAAAAUAUCAGAAAAAGACAAUUCUGAUAUGAUUGGUAGGACAUUCUUUUCAAUCUCAAGCAACUGAAAUCAUUCACCUUCCUGUCAGCAUGUUUGAUUCCCUCUUGGGAUUGGCCUUCAAGCCACCAGCAUCACUAGUGCAAUCAAUAUUCAUGAAACGAAGGAUUAUAAUUUGGUACAUCUCGCUUCUUAUGCCUUCGUAGACCUUCAUGUUGUUCUCACAGAAAAGAUAUAUAUUCUUGAUCUUCGAGAUUAUCCCUGCAGAAAUAGCCAACUCAGUUGGCUGGCCUCCUCAGAGUGUACAUCUUUAUCAUAUCCAUGCCGGGUUUCGUCCAUCAUGCAUGGUCGGUGCUUCAGUAGAGUCGGGAUAUGUAAUCGCUACAAGAUAAGUUUAUUUAUACUAAGAUGAUCCCCCCAAGUUUGUUUAGUUCGUUGACCGACACUGAAACUCCAUGUUGCUUUGGCACAUUCGUUCGAUUUGGGAAUGAUUGCAGUCUGAGCGAGCGUGCCAUUUUGAUGGAGUUUGUAAGGAGGGGCUUAUCCACAUGAGAUCAGGUUAUCGACGAUGACCGGGUGACGUCCCACUUUUGUCAACGACUUAGGCCUAACAUCAUGCCCCCCCCCCCAACUCGUCAACGUGGCAGACGUUCAUUUGCCGUUUCAUCGGACCCGACGAUGGACCCCGGCAUCGGACUCGGACUCGGGGCAUAUGCUUAUCCAUUAGCACGAAGGCGACGGGCGGUGGCGUCCCAUCUUUUUCUGUCGUUGCCUGGUUCGAGUGGAAUACGGUGCCGGCAGACGGAGGCACGCACACGCCACGUCGCACUAGGAAGCAUGAUGAAACCCCACGCCUCCUUCCUCCGACUUCCUGGACCAACCCGGUUCCCCCAAGUUACCCCCAACCUCGGAAUGCGCAGGAAUCCACCCACGCACACCGCCACAUCUGUUGCUUUAAUCCUUAUCAUAAGUUAUGUAUCCGAGUUAUAAUCCUUAUCACAUUAGAUGCCCGUAUUAUACUUAGUAUCGAAACCAUAACACCAUCAUCCCAUUUGCCUCUCCCUCCUCAUCCCUUUGAUCACAAAUGGACUGAAGAGAAAGCGACGCACAUGUUCCGGAUAUAUACAUCUAAGAAAAGACACCACUGACUCAUGCAAAUCGAGCCAAACCCAUUGAUCGAUUGGAAGCACUGCACUGUGUUGGCACUUUGUGAUGAUUGGAAGGCCAGCGGAAUGCCGCUAUAAACCCCUCGACACCUUCCUUUUCCCAUGACCAGCACGCGGCAAGUGUGACUCGAUCGCACAUCAGGAAUUCCAAGAAGUAUCUCGUGGUGGUAUUAGAGGCAGAUGGAGGAGUUGUACGAGUGGGAGGUGAUGUGGCCGGAGGACAACAACGACGGGCCCAUCGGCUCCGCCAACAGUCACGGCUCGACCCGGAAGACGGCGCCGGGCGCUCGGAGUCCGCCUUCCUCGUGCGCGGCGCCGCUGGACAUCCCGAGCGCCCGACCAAGUCCCGGGCGUGCAUGCGGCAGCGGCGACGGGGAGGAGGAGAUCGAGUGGGCGCCGCCGCAUGUUGUGGCGUCGCGACGCAGCGCGGAGGGGAAGGUGGCAUUCUCGCUGUGCUCCGGCCUCGGGAGGACGCUCAAAGGCCGGGAUCUCCUCCACGUCCGUAACUCCGUGCUCCGCAUGACCGGCUUCCUCGAAGGAUGACCUACUCCCGCCUCAGAUCCAAUGCAUGAAGAAGAGAGUACGGUGUCGACGAUACAUCUACACCUGCAAACAGUCCCUCGGUGCUCAUCAGUUGCGAGUCUUGUGAUCUUGAUCCUUAAAUUGUGUGCAUACAAAUCUCUAUCAUUCUUCGGCCUCCCCUACCUACAUCAUAAAACAUAUUAACUAAUGCAUAAGCAUCAGUUUCGGUACCUAAGAGAUCAAAAUUCCAAGUCAUGAAAAUAGCCUCUUUAACGAUUGACAAUAGAACAAUCUGCUGACGAGUAGCGUCGUCUGCAUGAAACCCCAGAUUUGGCGUCUAUGGUUGCACGUUGAGUUUGCAGCUGGAUUUAGAAUACAAUACAAUCCGCUAAUUAAUCAUAUCGAUGAUGAUUAACAUUCAUGAGACGUGAUAGCAAUCAUUAAGCACCAAAUUACUUGAACCGGUGCUUUUGGAAGUUUCUUGAGGAUAUAUAGCAGACCACCAAACGAUAGUUGCAGGAAGAGUCGAGCUACCUAUCUGAUGAUUCAUUGCGUUUUGGCCUUAUCCGAAUGUGCCUUUUUCUCCGAGAAGUAAUUUAUCGAGAAAUAUAUGGAACAUACACAAUGGUCGAAGUCGAACAAACUCUUCAAGUAACUUGUCCGAGGAGAUGACUGAAUCGAUCGACACUGACAGACAGAUUUGUCGCGGGGUUAAACUUGCUUAGAACGGGUUGAUCUGUAAAUGAAGCUGAGAUUUCUGAUAAGGAGGAGAAGGAAGUCAAAAGAUUCACCAUCCAGAAUGAGAAUAAUGCGUGCACAAAACAAGGUCUCUGUCCUCGCUCGGUUCGGUUGCUGGGGCAUGGCGUCUUGGUGCAGGAAAACCAAGUGCAUCCAAUGUCGCCAUUCGUCCCUUUCCCGGCGCCUCAGUCGCCCCGACUUGCCUGCGGGAGAAACACAGAGUUGGGCGGUAUCCUACGCCUUCGAAAUGACUGUGGUGAAUUAAGCUUUUGGGCGACUCACAGGGCGCCAAGUGUUCGACGAAUUAGCAGUUGUCGUCGGCGUUUCGAGCAAAGCUCUUAUUUAUAUGUGCAUGAGAAGAUUCAUUCGGAGCUCAACAUUGUUAAUGAGGUGGGGCGGGUCCGAAUGGAAUAGCUGCGGCCACGCGGCGACGCAACAGUUGCCGAUCCCGCACUCUAAAUCCAUCCCCUCCCACCGCAUGUCGCCCACGCAAGUUUGCUCACCUUCCCCCUCCUUUUCUCCGAUAGAUCCCCCCACCGCAUGCGUCUUCUCGGAGAACUACUUGGUGAGGAAGAAGCUGAUGGAAGAAUUCGAGGAAGCCGAUAUCCUGUGGCCCGACUACGAUCGCGACGAGGACGAGCUCACCGAGGAGUGGCACGCCGGACUCGGAACUCGGCGGAGGACAUCCAGCCCCGUCGAGAUCCCCUCGAGACCUCAACCGGUUCGUUCUUGGACGCUGGGCUUCGCCAGUUCCGACCGCGUUCAAGGUGACGAUGAUGAUAAAGACGACGGAGGCCAAACCCACAACGUCCCGCCGCACGUCAUGGUGACCCGCAGGAUCGCCGACAAGACGUCCUUCUCGGUGUGUGUCGGCAACGGCAGGACGCUCAAGGGACGGGAUCUGAGGCAGGUCAGGAACUCCAUCCUGCGGAUGACCGGAUUCCUGGAGAGAUGAUGGUUCAUCCAUCCCGGGAAAGAAGAAGAAAGAUGGAGCUAAGCCUCUUUGCGUUCGGGAGUCCCACAAACAGUGCAGGAUGUACCACUCAACAUAAGUUCAUGAAAUAGAGCUGUGCAGACUUGACUGCUGGUAGGCAAUGCUUGUUAUGUAUGUGCCCAGUAAUGCUUGUUAUGAUAACGUAUAUAACCACAAUUUUUGAAUGGUUAUUAAUCGAAUUGAUACAUGUUAUAAUACUAAUGCUUGCUAUGGGAACAUUUAUAACCCUAAUAAUAAUAAUAAUUAUUAUUAUUAUUCAGCAAGGGAAAGGGAAAGAAGGAUAGACUGUGAAUGAGUAAAACUGUAAAUAUUAAUUAUUAUUUUCAUAUUCCAAAUUCGUUAUUAUAUAUAUAUAUAUAUAUUAAUGGUUGUUAUUGUGGCAUAUAAUUAUUGUCCACCAAUCAAUUGUUGGCAUUGAAUAUAAUUCUUUACUUCAUUUGGCUCGUCUGGAUCGAGUAACCUUCCACCGAAAGCACGCUUGCCAUUUUUAUAGGCACUAAUAAAAAUAAAACAAAACACAUAAAUAAGUGUCGGAAAGACGAGCAUUACUUCCGUGAAGGGAAACGCAAAGCGUGAGCUUUUGGGAGAAGGAAACGGACUCGAGUCAGGCUCGAUCCCAAGCCAAGUAGAGCCCAAAGCCUUUCCAUCGCAUGCAACGAAAGCGGUGCUGUGGGUUGCCGUUGGGUCUCCCUCCGCCCUCCACGCGUCCGCAACCGCCCGCUUGCGACACGCAUCACGGAACCUUUUACGUUACGAACCGGGCAUGGAGGAGCACCGCCUGCUCGGGCUCACCGCCCCGCAACGGUAACCCUGCGCCCUGCUCCUAUUUAUGUCGUACGCCAUGAGUGGUCUCUGCCACUGCCUCUCUCUCUCUCUCUCUCUCNNNNNNNNNNNNNNNNNNNNCUCUCUCUCUCUCUCUCUCUCGCCUUCGGAUUCCACCGACGCGACGAGCGCUCUCCUCCAUCUUCUUCUUCUGGUCUUAGGGUUGAAGCGAGGAGGUGGAGCGAUGGAGGCUUCGAAAGGCUUGGCUGCUCUGCUCCUUGUUGCUGGGGUUACCAUGGCGUUGAUGGACUCAGCUGGGGCUUACGUCUUCUACGCUGGAGGGAGGGAUGGCUGGGUGCUGCAUCCCUCCGAGAGUUAUGGUGAUUGGGCAGAGAGGAAUAGGUUUCAGGUUGCUGACACCAUUGGUAUGUGCCGGACGAUCAUCUAUAGUCGUUGAUAUGUAGUGCAUUGAGCUUUGCAUGGUGUUGUGCAGUGUUCAAGUACAAGAAGGGGGAGGACUCUGUUCUGGUGGUGAGCAAGCAGGAUUACGAUGCAUGCGACGUGAGCAAACCGAUCCGGAAGCUCGAUGGAGGCGAUUCCGUGUUCAAGUUCGAUCGGUCGGGGCCGGUCUACUUCAUCAGCGGCGCGCCGGGGAACUGCCAACAGGGGCAGAAGCUGGUGGUGGUGGUCAUGGCCGUGAGGAACUGUCCGCCCAUCUCUUCUCCUCCGUCGCCACCUCCUACUUCCAACACGCCCCCUGCUUCAUCUCCUUCACCUGCACCAGUAUCCCAUGGUCCUGCGCCACGCCCAUUUCCGAAACCCCAUCCUCCAACCCCAGCACCAUCCGCAGCUCCCGUGCCCGGGUCUCCUCCUCCUAAAUCCUCGGUUGGCGCCGUGUCUGGUCCUGGGAUAUCGCCGGCACCAGCUCCCGUCGAACCGGCCUCCUCUUCGUCAUCCUCCUCGUACGCAUCGAACUGGUCCCUGGUGACGGUGCUGCUGCUCAUGGUUCUCGGUGCUUCCUCCUUCGCCUAAUGCUGUGUGUUGGUGUCCGUCGUUUAUACCUAUUACCGCUGUCUGUGUCGAGCGCGAUAUAUAUGCGUCUGCAUCUUGUUUCCUUCGUUCCCGUAUUUGUAUCUUAAUUCUAUGGAAAUGGAAGAAGAAAAUUACAGUUCGCCUACGUGGUCGUGAUGGCAGCUCACUGCGCUUCCACACCUUGUGCAUUGAUGCUCUUCUUUCAUGUUGUUUAAUCGAGCGGUGCAACCGUGAAGGCUUCUUGCCAUUUUGUUUCUGCAUGGCAUUUCUUCUGCAGUUCAUUGUGAUCUUCCAUUAGAAGACGACAGAAACCUCUCACGAGUGGAACACCGAAGGGAACAUUAAUUGUAGAGCUGGGUAAGUCGAUACGACAGCCGUGGCUUCAACAUGGCGGAUACAGAUGUGCACUGUAGUAGUUGAGGCUCCACCAGAGGAAUGCUCGUCGUCGUAUAUGAGAAGAGAGCUCAGAGUGUCUUUCCCAUUUGGUCAGCACAAUGCACAUGCCAAGUAGCCCAGAGAGGGUGCGUGGGGCUGUCAGGCGGAGAAGAAAGGCUGUGAAUAUACAGCAGCCAUUCCAAAUUUCGUGCCACCGACAUCGUAGGCCACUUUGCAACCUAUCUUUUCCGGAGAGCAUCUGAAUGAAUGAAUAUAUAUAUAUAUAUUUUAAUGAUACUUCUGUUUUGUUGAAAAUAUCUUUCACCAGCCAUAGUGAUAUUUUUCAUAUCAGUCUCGGAGAUGUCCUCCUAUAAAUUGAUCCAUUGGGUGUACCUGUUCAAGUGGAUGGAAGCAACCUGGUCUGAUCUAUUGGGUAUGUAUAGUAGUUUAGUCACUCAUAUUUGAUAUAGAUAGGGACAUAAACAAUGUAAUGCUAUUGAAAAUGAGAUCAAAACUCACCAGAAAUAUGUAUUUAUAAUAGUUUAUAAACAACAUCACCCAAAUAAGGAUUAAAAAGUAAUAUGUUACAGUGUUUUAACUAUCACAAUAAAAAUAUUGUAAAGUCUAUCUUAAAAAAAUAUAAACAAUCUAAAUGGACUCCUAACCUCAAUCAAACCAACUAUAAGUCUAAAAACGAUAAUCAAAUGAGCACAAUAUGAUAAUCAAUAGCUUUAUAAUGUUUUCAGCACCUCAAUAAGAACAAUGCAAUGCUAUUUGGAAAACAUCAUGAAUAAGUCAAAUAGAAUUAAAAUACACUAGAAAUAAUUUUAUUUACCAUACUAUGAUUCAAAUAAGUAUUUAUAGUUAUUUUAAAACUAAUAUCACUCAAACGGGAUAAAAAAUGAUAUUUUAUAAUGUUUUAACUAUAAUAAAAAUAUUGUAAAGUCUACUUGAAAACAUUGGAAUGAGUUUACUCGCCUUAUGGGUUGGACCAUAUUAUUGUGCCGAUCGAUCCAGCCACUUGGAUUAAUGUAUCAUAUGUCAUCGACUUAGUUAGUUUUAUCUAAGCCAUAUGGUAUCAUUACAUAUUCAUCCAUAAAAGAUCAACCUUUUCGAAAUAUCUUAUAGUCCCAUAAAAAUACUUAAAAAAGAAGAUAAGUUAGAAAAAACAUUUAUCUCAUAAUCUCACAGACAAAUAUUUUGAUAAAUACCUAAUAAGUAAUAUAAAUUAUAAAUAUAAACUUUGUAAGUCAUGAAUAAUCAUACGACAAAGGAUCUAUGAUAUUUUAUUAUAAUUAAAAGUCCUCUUAAGUGUCCACAUGAUACUACUACUGAAUAACAACAAACCAGCCUUAUUAUUAUUAUUUUGAUAAAAAGUAAGAAAAGAAAAUAUAUUCAUCAUCCCAUUACAAUAUGAUUAAGAAUGAGAGAAAGAAAUAAUAUUCUUGCUUGUUUUGAUGAUCAAGUAAUUUAGGAAUUACUAAAACUGUAGAGGUCAAUUCAAUCAUAAAAAAAAAGAAUUUGAUUAAGUAGCGAAAAGAAUUUAGUUUGAAAUAUCAAAAUAGAUCAAUAUUUUUUUUUCAUUUUUCGAAGAAGUGCAUAUCUUACACACGGAUUUUAAUUGAUAAUAGUCCGAAACAAUAGGACCAUUGGAGUACAUACACAAAUUUACUUUAAAUAUAAGAAGUCGAGUAAGCGGAUUACUCCAAGUCGAGAGGAAAAUAAAAAUUAAACUAAAAAUAUUUUUCAUAUGGAUCGGUUCAUAUGAUGUUUUUGAUCUUAGUCAAAUAAUACCAUUUAGAUUGACGAGAGAUAUUUUUAAUAUUAUCCAAAAUAAGGAUACCAUUUGAGAAAAAUAGAAACAGUGGUAUAUUUAAAAAAAAGAUUUUUUAGGAAAUCGUUGAAUGCUUUUUGACUUCUAGUAGUCAAAAUGAGCCCACGUCGACAUGCUACGGUUGUCGAAGGGUGAAGCUUAUGGAUAGGGCUAACGAUGACCCUUCAUUGUUAACAGGCCCGGCACGUUGGGUUGCAUCUGCUAUCACAAGGCACAGAUCAUACAAGCUUCAGCUUCCCGUCCCGGAAUGGGAAAUCAUGGCCAACCAACAGUGUAGUUGGCGGCACCUGAGGCCACCAAUCCCAUUCUUUUUCUUCUCCUCGGAAAUGAGAUGAGACGUCGUAUCACCUCGAUCCGUCUGCAUCACAUGAGCUCGCUCAUGGGCCUUGUCCGAAUCCAAAGCAGCGUACGUCGUGGAUCUUUUGUCUGUCCAUUUCCUUCCCAAAAUGGAAAUGCUUCCAAACCUCGCCACCCUCGCUGGUGGCAGCAGCGACACAGACCACCAAGAGACGUACUUCAUCUUUUCUGGACUAUGAUCCAAGCUUAAGAGACCGGUAAGCAACGGAGAAGAUGGCAUUAGGAGAGUGACCUCUACAGCGGAAAUCAUGUGUUAGAACCGUUCGUUUUGUUUGUGUUCCCGUUGUCCGUUCGUCGCUUCUGCAUCUUUCAUGCUCUCUUUUCCUCGCGAGACGUAUCAGGAACCUCUCUCUCUCUCGUGAUAUCAAUCCUUCAAUUGCCUUGCAGUUUGUGCCGGAAAUGUCUUCGGACCGAUGGUUCACGACAUGUCCUCGACGCCUCCGAGGACCGAACUCUGCAUUCCGGACAAACCUGGAAACUUUUACUUUAUGAGCUGAGGAACUCUCACAUCGGACAUCACGAGUUCGUCCUCCUUUUGCUUAAAACCUCUCGGAAAUGAUUCCGCUACGAUUAGACCACACCUCUGAUAAUUGGCUUGCUUGCAGAGAUUAGGAUGGCCCUUGGAUUCAAGGCCGCGGCUGACAGGCACGCACUCCUUGAGGAGGAGGAGGAGGAGGAGGAGGAGGAGGAAUAGAUAGUGCUGCAACAUUUAUUACCAAGCCUUUUGUCAUCGCUUUCCCAUUUCAAUCCUCACCAUUGCCAUAUUGAUGUAAGUUUCUUCGGGUCGCUUCUACAAGCCCAGGGGCGGGGAGGCCUUGUUUGGAGGGGAGGAGAGCGGCAGCGCAAAGCUCUAACGCGUGUCUUGCCGCCACUGCCGCGGGCGACAUGGGGAGAGGGAGAACGGAGAUAAAGAGGAUAGAGAACCCGAUCCAGAGGCAGUCCACUUUCUAUAAAAGAAGGGACGGUCUGUUUAAGAAAGCCAGGGAGCUCUCUGUUCUCUGCGACGCCGACCUCCUCCUCCUCCUCUUUUCCUCUUCCGGCAAGCUGUAUCAGUAUCACUCCCCUUCGGUCGCCAGGUGAAUGCAUGCCUUCUUCCUAUACCUAUAGCACAUACACGCACACACACACAAACAGCAUUAAGCUUACCUGCAGCUUUUGCUCGACCGCAGUGCCAAGGAGCUCAUAGAACGGUAUGAGGUGGCCGCCCAAACACAGAUUCGGGGAGACCGUCGCUUGGUAUGCUCUCUCCGUUUAACUCUCGCCCUCGUGCUCGGCUUAAGUUCACCAACUUGUACGUAGGAACGGAACGCAGAGAUGGAGAUGGUGGAGAAACUGUGCGACACUUUAGAGAGAGAGCUCAGGUGACUUGAAAUGUCUACCUCGGGAGAUCAACGGCUGGUGCCGCAGCUCGCUUACGGUUCCCUUGUUUCCUUUCUUGCAUUAGAUUCAUGAAGGUUGACGAGGGACAGCAGUACUCGCUGCCGGAUCUGGGCCUUCUGGAGCACAACUUGGAGACGGCCAUCGGCAAGGUCCGAGUGGAGAUGGACCGGAAGAUAGGGGCACAGAUCCACAAACUCGAAACCAUGGUUUGAUUCGUCUUCCAAAGCCCUUCUCUUUUGGGGGUGUCUCUUUUGCAUCUUGCAAUGAUUUCGUUCUUCCAUUUCAAGGUAAGAGAUCGCCAACAAGAAAGAUAUGGUCUGUGCGACAAGGUAUGCGUUCUCUCGCAAUAGUGCAGCUGCCGCUUGAGUACAUAUAGACAGUCGUUCCCCUGUUAGCAACCCUCAUAUCAUGUAGGCCAAAAUGCAUAGCUUGCAGAGGUAAAGUUGCGUCCUCCAUGCUUGCAGAUUGCACGAGUGCAGACGCUUAGAGGCAUGGAAGCAGAUGGAUCUGCCUCUUCAACUCCAGGACUGGACCUGAGACUGGGUACUUACUCAUCUGUCGAUACUUGGCUUGGCAGCUCCCCGUGGUUCUCAGCUCAUUUCUGACUAGAUCUGCCAUUUACUCUCGCACACAGGUCUAAAUUAACCAGGGUCGAUGAAGCCAACUGAUGAGCUGAAAAGUUGGAACUCAGGAUGAUCUGAUGAUGUUGCAGCUUUCUGGCUGCAAUCGAGGGCAACAAGGAGAGCUUGUAAAAAUAUCUCAAAUUCAACGAAAUUGGAGAACUUGAUUUCAGUUCCCGUGUUUAUUUCCAAGCAUCACUCUGCUAUUUCCUAGAAUUAUGGUGCUAAUGCUUGCUUGCUUGCAUCUUUCUCUAUCAACCUGCAUCACUGGUGUUUUGGUGCUCAUAGAGUAAAAGAGGCUUCGAGGCCUACUCUGAACUCGAAUGGCUGGGCAUGGCAAAGCUUCGAUUUCAUCAGAGAAGCUAAUGCCCAAUCUGAAACAUGCUUGCUUGCACGACCAAAGUUGGACUAAUCCUUCCCAUCCCGUCAAUGCCAAGCAAGCGAUCGAACUAAGAUUAAUGACUUCAACAAGAACAAACAACAACCAAGGAUGAUGCAAAAAGAUGGUCAAAUGAUUACCAAUUUAAUUCAACCAUAAUGCAAACACUAUAAGAUUUGGAUGCUAAGCUUUGACAGAGUGGUUUGACCAAUGUCUUUUCUAUUUCGACUUACCUGUUCAGUUUCCUUUUUAGCAUUCUCUUACUGGAUUAUAUGUUUACUGUGCGUGUUUGGAGGCUUAUGGCUGGCAAGAACUGUCUGAGAAUGACAACCGCUUGUUUUCCUUAAUGAUCGAUGAACAACAUGUCAUUAUCAGCAUCGACUUUCAAUAUGGGGGACCUCAUUCUCCACUUCUUGGAAUGUUCAUGGCCUGCACGGUUGGUUCCAUCAGUGAGGAAACCAUUGGAAGAGAUGCAGAAAAGGAAGAACAAGAAAGGGGGCUUCCUCCACGGAACGUGGCUUCUGGGUUAAUCGAGAAUGGAAUUCGACAUGGUGGUGAUGGGAGAUGCUGCUGCAUCGACAGACUCUGUUACUGACCUUAAAGAUCAUGGAAUAAAAGAACCUGAUUCAUCCAUGCCGAGCGAGUUCUCAACUGUGAUUCCCGAUUCCAGAACUCAUCAUCCGUGUCAAAACCAAAGCAAGAUCCACUAUUGUUACUUUAUUUCUUGGCAACUAAACCAAUCCAAAUGGUUCCAAAACAUGCACAGAAUCGUACUUCAUCCUGCUAUCGAUCAUCUUCCACCAAGCUGCUCCAUUAUUAACCUUGCUUUCCUCUAUCAGCUGUCUGUUUUAUAGGCGUGCGCACAGAUUGCCAUCACCCAGGUUGACUUUGUCUCCGAGGACUCCAUUACACGGAACGAGGAAAAAGAAACUCCGAUCGAAAUGGGGGAUUUCCGGAUUGAUAGAGAAAAAUUAGGGAGGAGGAGUAAACGAUGGAGAGAGAAGGAAACGGCGUUGGGUCAAAAGGUCGCCGAAAAAUGCGAAGUCACGGGGCAACCCGACACCGGUGGGUGGGCUGUGGUUUGACCCACGGCAUCGUGUCCCCUUCCGUUGACUACGUGACCUAACAUCGUCGAACGACGAUCGUGCACCGAGAAGAGAGCCACCACCUAAUCCACGCACGCUUGUCCAUAAAUAUAUAUCGAUGCCAAUUGAUGUGGGGCCCAGCUUAAAUGCAAGAUAAUUAUUUUUUUCCCUUUUUCUUUCAGACCAAAUUAAUAAUUAAUUUUAUUAAAAUAAAUUUUGUGAAUGCAAGAUAAUUAAUAAUUAAUUUUGUUUCUUAAUCGUGAUUUUUUUUCCCCCAAAAUUAUCACUGACAAAAUUGGGUAAAGCAUCACUAAAUAUUGAGUUUUUAGAAUAACUAAUUUAGAUUAGAGAUAAGAGAUAAUUUGAAGUGAUACGAAAUAAUAAGUAGUGUCAUCUACUCGACAGCGACGUACGUGAUCUACGGUUCUUCUUCUCGUUGUAAGUGACAGAUGUGCUGAAUCCGUGAAUUACUGAUCAAUCUUGGAUUCCGCUCGUUGGGGUCGACAUCAUCUAUCCCUCGAGAGUCAAACAUUAUUGAGUUGACGUUGCUGUCGACAACCCACCAAAUCGCAAUAUGUCCAUAUCGAAAUUAAACUAUAUUAUAAUUAUAUGUUGACUAAGUAGCGAGUGGUUUCCACCGGUGACGGGGGAAGGAACGUAUGGUACCGAGGACGUAAGGAGAAGGACGCCUGCACAAGACUCGUCCACGUCUCGGAAGUGAAGUGUGCGUACUAUUCGACGAACCAUUCUUUUGGUAGGCAUAGGAAUAAUGCAAACGAAACGCAUAUAUAAUCUAUUAUUACGCUCGGAAUGAGAAAAGAGAAUGACUAAACGCACGAGUAGUAGUCAAAAGAGUGGUCCUCAUCGAUGACUGACUUAUCAAGUCGAUGCUAUCAACCAUCAACUCUCAUUUGGUUCAUCCAGUGCAUGCUAAGUUCUUUUGUCUAUUUCUCUGCAACUAUGAUCAUUUUUUUUUCUUCCGAAUAUAAAUCGAUUAAGACCUCAAAAUUAUAGUCGUUUUAGAGAAUUACAAAUAAAUCUAAUACGUAAAAUAUGAUUAAUUUUUAUGGAUAAAAUUGGUUGAAGAUAUAUUAUAUUUGGAGGGGAAAGUUGAGUCUUCAAAGUCAGCCAAGAAAAUUGAUGUGGCUACAUCAACCAUCUCAUGGUCAUGGUCAACAUCGAUUUAAUUUGUGAGCUAAAACAAGUGAUUAAGAUGACUUGUGGUAAAGGAGAUCCACUAGUUCAAGUGCCACUAAAUUAAGACUCAAAUGGAAAGUGUUUAUGUUGGCUAAUGUAAGACUUAAUACCAUAUUUUAUAACACAAGCUGACUGUGAGUUGAGCAUGUAGAUUGUCAUACUUGCUCAUCCCUCUGAAAGCCCUCACUUCUCUCUCUCUGUGUUGUGAGUAGUAAUUCUAGGAUGACUUCCCAGGAAGAGUGCUGCAGAUACUGUGCAACUGGUCGGCUAAUCUUUCGCCCCUGACAGUUCAACACCAACAUGAUCAUUCUUCGGAAUGAGUAACUACAGUGGAAAGCAGAAGAAGACACUGUGGAUCCUCCAAAGCUGGUGUAGUCGAUGGCUCUGAAGUCAAUGUGGAUCAAGAAUUUUCCUGGAUGUGUCAUCAUGGAAGAUGGCACCAAACCUCUGUGCCAUGGCAAUACAAGUCUUUUCCUCAAGAAGAGAGAAUUCCAUUAAACACGGGCUACUCAUCUCCAAGUCAAUCUCUCUUUCUCCUCCACCCUUUCCUUUUCCCACCCAACUCCCGACUCCCAACUCCAAACCAACAUCCUUUUAAUUCCUCCUCUGCUCAGUCCCACCCAUAUGCUUACCCCUCUGCAUCAGUCCCCGAGAGAAUAGCCUUCUCUUUUUGUUCUCUGAACUCGUCCAUCCAAUGGAAAACCUUCACCAUGGAUUCCAUGAGAACGAGCAGCAAUCUUCCCAUCCCACCUCCCCUUACUCCAACUCCAGCAGUAACAACGGCAGCAGCAGCAGCAGCAAUGGUGUGACAGCAGCUGCAGCAGCGGCCGCUUGUUCGCCCACACCUCUCACUCCCCAGUCCUUACCGAAAUCCGUCGACACCAAUUCUUUCCCCACCACCUUCAUCCAGGCUGACGCCUCUUCCUUCAAGCAAGUAGUCCAGAUGCUCACAGGCUCCGUGGCGAGGGCCGCCAAGCACGCCGGCGCCACCGCAGCGCCGCCAACCAAGAACUUGGUUUCGCCCGCCGCGAAGGCCACCGGCCCCAAGAAGCCAACUUUUAAGCUCCAUGAGCGCCGGGGCAGCCUCAAGAACCUGAAGAUGAUAAGCCCAAUGAUCCCAGGUUUCGUCAAGUCCGACCCGAGUUCUCCCAUGGGCGUGGCCUUCUUCUCCCGGAGGCAGCCGGAGAUCCUCUCGCCGAGCAUGCUGGACCUGCCGUCGUUGAACCUCAGCCCCGUCACGCCUUUGAUCCCCGAUCCGUUCAACCGGACGCCGCAACCCAGUCCGGCCGCCGCCACCGGAGCAACGAUGUCGGCCGAGGACCGGGCGAUUGCCGAGAGGGGGUUCUACUUCCACCCUUCGCCAAAGACCACGCCGAGGGGCUCGGAGCCGCCGAGGCUGCUGCCACUGUUCCCGGUCACGUCCCCGAGACCGUCAUCUGCUUCGGCUGCCGGCACUUCCAUUUAGAUUGGUGGUAUGAGAAGAACGGUUCAAACGUACAAUUUGAGCUUCUCACUCGAGAGCUUUUGAUUUCUAAUUCUCUCUGUCAUGCAAACCAAUUAAUCCAACAUGAGAUGAAUGAUCUCUGCAUGGUGCCUCUCUUUCUUCUCUAUGUAUCGUCUUCCUUAUCAAGAGCUUUCUCUUCCACCUUCUUGGACAUAUGAUAAUGUCUAGUCGUGGACUAGGAAAAAAAUUGAUCUCUUCAUGCGGUCAGUUCAUUGUUCGUUUUCUUGAGAAAGCUCUUUUACCAAAUUUUUUGAUAUAUGAUCAAAGAUGAUUUGCUUAAAGGAUACCUCUCAGCCGAACUAUCCCCAGAUAGUUCUAAUUCCCCGAAAGUCUGGAAUUUGAAGGAUUCAGGAGUACAAAACAGUGAUUGGGAAGUUGCUGCGACAUGUGUUCAUGAAGCCAUUCACCGAUGCAAGAUGAGGCUUCUGUGUUUGGCUUGGCCGAGAAGGAAGAAUUUUGUGUCUUGAAUUAGGUCCUGUACUACUUAGGAAGCUUGUUCUGUCUUUGAUAUUGACUUCCGCAAGUGCUGUGGCAUUUUCCUUUUGUUAGAAUAACUUGAGGGCUGCUGAGUUUGAUGGAAAAGGAGAAGCUUCCCAUGGAGUGUUUGGGACUGCCACUUCAAAAAGGAGUGGUUGGUUUGCUUAUGCUGUAAUAACUGGAAAAGAGAUUAGAUAGCUGGAAAGCACAACUCUUUUUCACUGAAGAGAGAUGAAGCUUAAUUACAUGGAAGCAGAUUUGAAAAGAAGAAAGAGUUUGGCAGGCUUGGAAUCAUUAAUUCACCAGAUUUUAAUCAUGGCUGAACACUAUCAGAUUCUCAUUCUUCUCUGCUCCUCUCAUCUCCUUUUGUUUCGAGAGAGAUAAGAAGAUAAGUGUCACAGAAUUGGUGGUCUGCUCUAGACUUCCACUUUGCUUGUCAUUUAAAAUGUGAUGUGCAUUCUGCUGCUUUUUCUUUGCUUGACAACCAAUGAACCGACUCCCUUUGUCAUGAUGCACCUGCCUAACCUCAGUCCAAACUCUAAUAUUAAGUGAACAUGGAGUAAAGAACCGUGACAAAGGAGGGCAGAAACUGUGCCUUCACAGACACAGCAAGGCUUGUUAUCAUAUCUCAAGUUUCAUGUCCACUAGACCUAUCACAAUAGUCUUUGUUACAAGUGAGUUUGGAAAAGGUCUUGCUCUUGGAGCAAAGUGUCAACAGAGAACCUGUCUAGUGUGAUUCCUGCUAUGCCAAGGUGUAGCGUUUUGACUGAAGCCACAAGAUGCAAGGAGCUGCUGAAAGAGUGUUCAGGUCAUGUCAAUAGCUUUCUGCUACAUAUUUGGUUUCAUCCUUCUUUUUCUUUUGGUUGAAUCUGAUACCAUCUGUAGCCACUUAAAAUUGACUUGUGUUGCAGUAGUACAUGGAGAAACUGCAACAGAGAGUCUUAUGAAUAUGUAAUUGGAAGGAAGCCAGCAUUCGGUGCAGUUUCUUUCUUCACACACCAAAACCUCACAGAGAAGUUGGUGAUGAGUAGUGUCAGAACAGGGCAUACACAGAGUUUAUACUUCAUGAGGAGAUUGAUGUGAUUAAAGUUAGCUAAUCUCACUUGCCUUCAAUGAUGAACCGAGUCAAUCAACAACACAGAUCCCCAGAUCAAGACAAACCACAGGGAAGAAGAUCUCGAAGUGACGACUCUAAACUGGUAGUGGAGUUGGCCACCGAAACAUGAGAAUCCCUUGAUGUGAUGAGAGAGGAGAGAUGAGGUUAGCCGAAGGUUUUGGUGCUGCCUCUUCAGCUUCUGCCGCCUGUUGCCUCUCUCUCUCUCUCUCUCUCUCUCUCUCUCUCUCUCGUCGUCGUCGNNNNNNNNNNNNNNNNNNNNUCGUUGUCGUCUCUCUCUCUCUCUCUCUCUCUCUCUCUCGUCCUACCACUGGGGUCUUCUCUUCUUGUUGAGCUCUGCAGUCAUGAAGGUGCCGAUGCAGUAGCACAGCAGUAGUAAGCGCAGGACCUGUUGGUGUCAAUAGUAAACGUGUUUCACGAAAAGCUUCCAUUAACCAUCAACUUUCAAUCGGCUUUGGUGAUCGUGUUGCUGAGAUCGUCGGUCAAACCGCAUCAAGAAACGUGGAAACCUUUGAGCUUAGAUGGCAUAUGCUGAAGCAAAAACCAGAUAGGGCGUAUAUAAUAAAUACUGAGAACAAGAAUCCGUGUGCUUAUCCUAACACAGCAGCCCAAAUUGACCAACUUGGCGAGCGCGACGGUAAAAAUCCGCAGCAGCGACGCGUCCCUGUCGAUCAGCGAUGGCGACGCCUCCCCGUCGCCAUCUUCUCUGACCUCUCUCCUUCCCACCUUCCCCUCUCCGCUGUCGCGGCCCAGGCAGCGCCCAGGUGGAAGCGGUCAGGUCCUCUGACGUCAGACGCGGGUUCGUACAGGUGGGGCCACCUUUCCUUCCUUUUUUUAAGUGGAAACUCCCUGUUUCCUGCCUGGAUCGAGACGGCGCACCCACCGCACCGAACGUUAUUACGCUACCAAACUAAAAUAUCCUUUCCCCCGCGGCAAAGACGGACGGUUAGGAUUCUAUCAGAACUGGCAGAGUGGAAUGAUCGAGGCUGCUCGCAAUUAUUAUCUGAUCGAGCAGGGGAGCGCUCUCGAUCGAAUGCGCCCAAAUAGACGCGGAAACAGCUACGGAGAGGAAGGGACGAAGCCGUACCAGACUCGUCCCUCCGCCGGACGCGCGAAAUAAAGAAGGGCGAUCUGUCGUCCCCUUCCUUCUUCCGCAGGCCGACGAGGUUACGCCCCAUGGAUUCUGCGUGCGUCUCCCUUUCCCUUCCUUCUUUUUGCACCCAUCAGUUGCAAAUGCUUUUAUUGAUCACGGUGGGGUGCUCGUUUGCUUUGCCUUUCGCAGGUUUUGUGCGUGGCCUUCUGUUGAUUGAUCGAUCGAUCGAUUUCGUGUGCCAUGGAGAUGUUGAUUGGGUUCGUUCUGUAACGAUGGAGAUUCGGAUCCGGCGAAGGCGUGAUAGAUUCGGGUGUGGCGGCGGCGUUUUGGGGUUUGGAUCCUGGUCGUUCCCGUGUUCUCCUUGAUCGAGGCCUUGUAACGACUUCGAGGUCGGAUCUUUGACCUCCGAUCUGGAGGAAAAUGGAGGAGGAGCGUAGCUCUUGGGUGCUGAGGGCCAAGUUUUCCCACACGCCCUACCAGCGAUCGGGCUCUGCGCGAGUGAGCUUGGCCUCUGAUUUGGCCCUGCUGACCGAACCCAAUGAAUCGAAUUCGGGUGGCGCGUCGAGUUUGCCGUCGAACAGGUCCUCUUUUCGGUCUGGCUGCCAUUCCUUGCCGAGUCCGACGAACUCGCGCGUGGGACCGCGGGAGAAAAGCUCCGCAAAGAAGUCGAGUACCCGACCUGAUGAUGGCGGUCCGUCGGAGGCGAAGAAUCCGGGGAGCCCGAGCGCCCAGUGUUCUGAAUUCUCCUUCUAUCCCCAAGGAUUCCCGGCUCUGAAAUCAGGAGGAGCGAGUUCUGCCGCAGUCGUGAGCUGGAAAUUUCCGGUUUCUCGUCAGAAAGCAGAAGGCUUGAGUUCUACCAUGGGCGCUGCCUGUUCUGGAUGGGCAAAACUAGAUGCCAAUUACCGUCAUGAGCGGGAUCCUAAACCGAAACAAAGGUCGAUAUCACCUCUUCCGACCACCAUCCUCUCCGAGGUCUUCAAGGAAGCUCGUUCGAUCGGGAAAAGAUUCUCCACUCCGCCGCCGUCCAGGAAAAGGUGCGACAGAAGCCGUGAAAAUCACGAGCUUGCUUGGAGAACAGCUAUUGAAUCGACUCAUUCUAAUAAGUCGAGGGCCAGGAAGGAGACUUCUUGGGCGAGGUACUUUGACCAUGGGACAGGGAAGGUCACUGCCUUGGAGACGACAGAGAAAUGGAACGUUGAUCUUUCCCAAUUGUACCUUGGGUUUAGGUUUGCCUGCGGUGCUCAUAGUAGGCUAUACCAUGGCGUCUACAAGGAUCAACCGGUUGCUGUGAAGAUCAUCAGGGAACCUGAUGAUGACGAAUAUGGAGUGAUGGCUGCACGACUGGAGAAGCAGUUCACCAGAGAAGUCACAAUGUUGUCACAUCUAUAUCACCGCAAUGUGAUUAAGGUGCAUGUCGCUACUUCUUAGGUUUCGUGUUUGUCUGGUUACGUCUAAUUCAUCAGCUCGGUUAUGAUUAAUGAUAGCACGAUAUUGUCGUAUACCUCUUGCUUUUAUUCUCCAUGAGUUACUGAAAUCUUUUAACUGGUCUUCGACUUUGCUCUAAGUCAGUUACAGGAAGCUUACUGUAGUAUAGUUUGCUUACCUGACAAACCCCUAACUAAAACAUCUGGUAAAGUGAUUUUCCGGUAACCUCAUGAUCAUUAGAAAGUUUGCCUCGAAAGAGAAGAAAAAAGAGAAAUUAAUAUUUCCUUUUUAUGAAUAUAGAGCAAAAUUAUGUGUCCUGAACAGAUUCAUGAUCACUGACUGUACCUAUGUAACUGAUCAUAUGCUAGAUCCCUAACAUUAUCUAUGAAUUAAUUGAAUUAUCUUUAGUUCCCAUAAUUACGUUGUGCACGAAGGAGUUAUUACUAUGCGUGGAUUUUCUUUGGUUUUUUUCUACAUCUAUCACAUGUUAGGUGGUCCAAAUUGUCCAAUUAUCUUAUUUUGAUAUCGAAUGCUUGAUAAUGUAUGGAAUGACAAACUGUCCUUGACGAACUUGAUUUCCAGUGGAACAUGUCGAUUGCUUGGUAGUCCUUUGUAAUCUGAUCUUUCUCCUUGUGGAACCAAGAUACCCUGAGGGUUAAGAGUAACUUCCCUCGGGAUGAUGCUUUUGCACAACGCCUUUGCAUAACUAAUGCUAUGUUGUAGGCAGAAAAUAAACGUAAUGCUAUAUUAUGGCAAGGACUGAAGUAUGACAUAACCCAUAACUUGUCAAGAGCCAGUCCUCUGAAGAAUUUAAUAGGCACAAUUUGUUUAUCCUGAUAUGACUACUGCCACAGGAUGGUGCAUUUCAAAUGCACUGAUAUAAACAGAAAUGUGGGCAUGUUAUUACGCAUGCAAUUACAAUAAGUAGUCAGAAAUUACAUUAGUAUGGGAGCAAUUAAGACCACAAAAUAUUUGACCAUUUCAUUCAGAAGCAUAUGAUAAUAUUUUUGCUUAUUGAUUGCAUAUGAUGUUGAUCUUGCUGGGGGCGAGAUAACAAGCAAUAUACACUCACCAUAUUUAUCACCAUCCAGAAUGUUUUGUUCCCAAAUGAGCAUAGACAUGUUUUUCAUACGUUUUCUGUAAUUGUACAUGCAAUGUUAUGUGAGGUAACAUGUUCUGUGGAAUCUGAAUCCUUGCUCCAAGAAUGUCAGUAUGUGCUGUGACUGUCAUGCACCAACAUUGCUAAGUUUGACUAAUAGCAUUUAAGAUAUGGAACUUAAGUAGGCGAUGCACUGGUAUGAUGUUAAUUUUGUGCUUUUUAUUGUUAUCUAUGAUGUAAUGCAGCUCGCAGGGGCAUGGAAACAACCACCAGUCUUUUGCAUCAUCACCGAGUAUCUUCCUGGAGGCUCUUUAAGAGCAUUUUUGCGCAAGCUUGAGCACAAAUCUCUUCCUUUACAAAGAUUAAUUUCAAUUGCCUUAGAUAUCGCACAAGGAAUGGAAUAUAUUCAUUCACAAGGAGUUAUCCAUCGUGACUUGAAACCUGAGAAUAUCCUUUUUGAUCAAGACUUAUGCAUAAAAAUUGUAGAUUUUGGAAUCGCAUGUGAGGAAGCAUAUUGUGAUGCAGUAACAGAGGACCCUGGAACUUAUCGCUGGAUGGCACCUGAGAUGAUCAAACAUAAGCCAUAUGGACGGAAAGUUGACGUGUAUAGUUUUGGGUUAUUGCUGUGGGAGAUGGUGACAGGGACAAUCCCUUAUGAGGACAUGACACCAAUCCAAGCAGCUUUUGCAGUAGUCAAUAAGGUACGCUUUUCAUCAUAAUAUUUCCUUCGAUUACCUGAAAUCAACAAUGGUUUGCCUUACCUGUCUAUAUCGGUGUACCGAUCAGCUGUCGGUAUGGUACGUAGCAAAUUAUAUUAAGUCGUACUGAGAAUACUAGCACAUGAUAUUAAACCUUCUACGUAGUAGGGUUUAGUUACUGUUUUAAUGCAUGAUAAGAUUUUUUCUGCACUACUAUGUUCAGUAGUCUAAUUUCAGAGUUUUAUCAAGAAGAAAAGGCAUCUGAUGCUCAAAUUACAUUCUUGAUAUUUUAGAACUUGAGGCCAACCAUUCCUACUGAUUGUCCUGCACCUUUGAGAGCCCUGAUAGAGCAAUGCUGGGGAGUACUUCCUGAGAAGAGGCCUGAAUUUUGGCAGAUUGUGAAGGUGUUAGAGCAGUUUGAGUCUGCUGUAGCUCAAGAUGGAACACUAAAUCAGCUUCAAAACUUGUCCUGCCAUGAGCACAAGAAACGAUUAGUCCAUUGGAUCCGAAAGCUGAAAACUCCCUCGCAUGCAGAUAGCUCAAUUGCCCAAAUGCCCAGACUGUUAUAACUUCGCUCUCUGUGCAACCCAUCACUUUCGAUGGACUUAUGCUGGUUUUUCCGUGGCGUUUCAUCCUUGUUGAUCUGCAGAUUAUACCACGACUGAUCUCAAAGUUCUCUCUCAUCAGCUGCAGGAGUCCGUCUCCAUCUCUCCACGUACAAGGACACCUGCAUGCAUUAUUGUGCAUGAUAAACAGUCUAUAUUCUCCUUUGUCAGAUUAUACAUGUACCAUAGUAGCAGGAAGUAUCAUUCUUAUUAGGUUAAUUUCUAUUUGCUUAGAUGUAUAUUUGCGUAUUAGGUUUGUAGCAAUGCAUUUCAAAAUGGUUGAGGCUGAUGCUUUACUACUGAUCAGUUUUGCAUUUGGUCUUUAAGUGCAAAAUGGAAGCAAAAGAUGCUGACAAAUGCAUUAUUUCGGAAGGAAUAGAGACAACAUAGUGAGCCUGAUGGCGCUUUGAGGUCAAAUAUAGAAAGGAAAGAGAGUAGCCUCUGAAGCAUCGACAACUCUUGGGAGAGAAGUCACUGUGCCAUUGGCAUGUGGACGAACAUUGCUACGUAAUAAGAAAGAUUAAUUGCUUCGUUGACCGAUUGGGAGCUGUUAAAGAUGGGGUUUGGGUGUAAUCCAGGCAAGAGAAGACGUAAAAGGAGGAACAAGCACUUGAAAACAAGAAAAGAUCCAGGUAAGUCAGCACACUAAAAGUGAAAAGCAAGUCUCUUUAUUUGGAUGAGUGUGUCUUUAACACUUGAGAAUGGUCAUGUGCUCCCUUUUAUUGGUCUUUGUGUUGAAAUUUGGAGUCCAAGUUACUCCCCCCUUAUUUAAGCAGUCAACUUCCACAUACUGUUUUUUUGGUCAAAACCAUUGCAUGUGGCCAUUGUAUGAUGGUGUUACAGGGUAGGAGGAUUUCUAUCCUAACCUGCUUGACAGUAACUGGCAAAUCAUUUAUGGUCAUAUGAGUUUGUAACAGAGCCAUAGAUUUCUAAUUUUUCAGCCAUUGCUUGCUGGCUUUUUGCAGCCAGAAUUCGAUAGUUAUGUCCUCUCAUUACUCAUCUGAAAGUGUUGUGGUUUAAGUAAAACAGGCAAAACAUUUGCUAUGAAGAGCAAUAUUCUCAAUGAAUAUUAUCCCAUCUAACAUAUUAAAUUCAAGCCCAACAGGUUUCCUCCAGCAAAAGUGUUGCAAUUGGCGAUGCCAUGCGAAAGCUGAUGAUUCAACAUUUUUUAUUCAUACGCUAUCAAAUGCUUUCUUGCUUCACACUUCCCAAUAGCUGCAUCUGCCGAUCUUUCUUCCCCCUCUGAAUGUCCAGAUCUUGGCAAAUGUCACAGAUAGAUAUUUGUAAUGAAUUCAACUCAGGCUGCAGUUCUGCUGCAUCAACGCCGAGACGUUCUAUUUACAUUGGUUCCGGCCGAACUUGUUGGACCGAACAAUCGCAUCCAUCAGCAAAGUUACCCUCUGAGCCCCCGGUCCGGGCCGGAGCCGUGUCGGAUCCCCGACCUCGGAGCACGGCGGACUACCCGCACACCACCCACCCGGGACGAAGCUUCCAUUAGCCCUGCCAAGAAGCUCCGCGUCGAUCUUGUCCAGCACGGGUUCGUCCCGCCUGAACUUGCGGGCGAAAGGAGCGUUGCUGCCUACCAACUUAGACAUGUCGGCCAUGGUGAGGACGCGCGGGUGCUGCUUCGGCGGCACAUCCCACGCGAUGUAGUGAAGGUCAUGGUUGGCGACGGUGUUGGAGAACUCGGGCGCGUUGCAGAUCACUGUCUGGAAGUAGCCUUCGGAGGAGGAGAUGAAGUUGGUGUAGUACAUGAGGAGCCUUCUCGGUAGGUUGUCCCAUCCCCACACGCAGAACUCGACGAACUCCCGCGACAGAGCAACCCAUGCAGAGCCUGUUAGGAAAAGAGACGACCCCACCGUCAACGCCUGAAAUCUCUCAGUCGUGGAUCCAAAGUUCCAGCAACAAGUACCUGUGAACAGCUUGAAUGCAGUCGGCGUCUCUCUUCUCUGACUUACCCAUAAGAUAUCAGUCUUCUUGCUCAUGUAUAAUCCAGGGUCAACGAUCAAAGGUCUCGCUCUCUGGUCCCUGUAAAAACAAUCGCCUGAACAUUACAACAGAAGAAGCACACUCCACUCAGCCCAAAACAAUUUAAGCAAUUCUACGAACUCUUUCCAAUCCAAUCGGCUCGUGUGCUCCACAAAGCUUAUGUUCCGCGGCAAGGACGAGAAGGUGUGCAGUAUAUCUGCCACCAGACACAAAAACCAGUCACGUACACUGCAAGUCUACAAGAAAGCCGACAAGUGUGAGAGGAGGCUCACCGUCUUGCGUAACGAGAGGGUAAUCAGAGGCACUGAGGUUGAUGAACCAGUCCCACUGCCCGCCCUUCUUGAGAAGCACAGCACAGGCGUGGAGCGCGUUGGCUAUCACCAUCGGCCCUCGAUAGGUAACCAGGUUCGACUUCUUGAUUACAUGCACGUUCCCGACCUUGGCGAAGAGGGUCUCGUUGGCGACGCGUGAAAUCAACCGCAGCCGCUCGCUCGCCGGAGAUUCCAAGUCCAAGUGCACGACGUAGAGGUUCCGAGGAUGGUACAGCGCCCGCAGCGUCCUCCACAGGCGAUCCAGAUCUCCCUUGGAUCCGGAGAUAAAGUAGGCCAACCUGGGAAUCGGGGAACCGACAGGCGGCGGCGGCGGCGGCGAAGCGGGGAACGAUGUGGACUCCACGAUGGCAGGGGUCGUGGCGUUGGUCAGGAAGUACAUGGUGUGGAUGGAGGAGAGGAUGCUCAUGUUCGAGGCGGCGGCGAAGAAGACGAGGACAAUUGAGAUCAGCAUCACAGCCCACACCCAUCUUUUAUCCAUGGCACAGUGUAGCAGAGGAAUCUUCGCUUUCAUCAUCUCCAUCACGGCCACAACCUCCUCCUGUGCAGCUCAGAUUCGUGCCAAAACGCAGCGUACUGCACACUUGAAGGAGGGAACGAGUCCAACGGAGAGACUAGGGUGAGAAGAAGAGGAAAGGGAAGAAGAUGACGAACGAGGGCUCGGAGAAAUAAUAAGGCGUCGGCAAUGCUAGAACACGAGAAUGAAUCAUAACAAAACAGGAUAGGGAUGGUUGAAGGAGAUAAAGAAGGGAACCAGAAGUAGUUCUACGGGAUACGAGAACCACAUAGAAAGUGGAUCCUAUCGCCGUGCAAUCCGAGUGGCGUUCUUCUUCUUCUUCUUCCGUCUUCUUCUUAUAUGCUACAAUAGCCUCCUUUCUCGGUUAAACUCCACCUUAUGGUUUCGUAUUCAUAUUAAGCAUUUGACUUGUCACAAGUGGGAAGAGAAACGCCUCUGGGCACGCGCAUCGGAAACGCUUGGGCAUUUAAGCCACGAAAUAAAGAGAAUAAAAAGGGGGCAAAUACAAUAUUUGUGAGGAUAAAUGUGUGAGAAAAAGGGAGAAGUGGCAUUUGAUCCACCGGAGACGGCAGCCAGUUGUAAGACCAGUCCAUAACGCCAUUACGCCUAAUUACUUACGUGCUUCUUUGUCGAUAGUGUUGGAUACAUUGAUGUGGUCGUCCGACGGCUUGUCAUUGGAGUCGUCGCUCCGGUCCUGCUAGUUUGGUCCAUCUCGCUCGUCGGAGGGUCAAUAUGAUUACGUCUUUGUCGCUCGUUUCUCUCUGAUGCUGCUAAUUCAUAUGAGGAGAAUAUUAUAAUCAAAUAUUAUAAUAUUUUUCUUUAAUCUUGCACGAAUUGGUAUAUAUAUAUAUAUAUAUAUACCAAUUCGUGCAAGAUUGCCGCUCUCCUCGCACGACUAUUCAAGCUUUCCUUGGAGAGAAGCACACGUCCUAGGUAGCGAGAUGGAAGAGUCGCGACACACCGACCCGAACCCUAGCGAGGAGGUGUUCCAUCCGAGAGGAGGAGGAAGAGGUAAGAAUGAUCCCUUCCCAUGUAAAUUCGCCCCUCGAUCGAAGGUUUUUAGCAAUUCUUUUUUGGGGGUGACGAGGCAGAUUAGAUCGGUUUGGGGGGGGGCCGCGUCUGGGGACUUUUGUGGUUAGAAGGGCUUCUUGGGCUUGGUAACGUGAGAAAGAUUCGGGAUGGGCUUGCCGACAUUGUUCGGGUUUGCGAAAUGAUCCCGUUCUUGGUUGUGAUUUCGAUCGGCGGCAUCGGAGAGGGAGGAACGUGGGUUUUUGAUCUUUUGCUUUCCAUUGGUUGUUCGUUGGAUGUCAUGCGAGGGUUUUGAAAGAGGAAGGGGAAAUGAGGAGCCGGAUAGUUCAGUGAUGGAUCGGGUAUUUGUGGGUUUCUUCUGCGAUAGAUGAGCAAAUCCGGGUUCUGUCCUCGAUCCUUCGAAGAACCCCUUUCAUUUUUUUGAUGGUGAACCCGUUUGCAUUUACCUUUCGUAUGUGAUCAUUAAGGUUCCCGUCUUUUCUUCCUUCCCUGAUUCUUGUUGCUGAAAUAUUAUGUACUAUGAAAAUUUUCUGAAUUAUUUUGCUGCAAUCUUUCUAUAAAUUUGAGAGGUUUUGGAUAUGAUCGACAGGAUCGUUUGAAUAUUCUUGGGUGGCCAUUGUAAACGUCUAUGCAUGGCACCUGACAUGGGUUCAGUAUCGUUCUUGCAACAUCCGAUUGAGUGGUACAAGGAUGCUUGCUUGAUACUAUUGAUAAAAUCUGCAUUAUGUGUAUAUGUACUUUGCGUGAUUCGUGCCUGAUUUUUCUUUGAUACCAUCCUAAUUUGGGGAUACGCUUUAGAUCAAGCGCAGGAGAGUCGGGAUAGAGAAAAAUAAGAGUUGCUUAGUUUCAUUUUGGUCCUUCUGUUUGGAUCGUAUAGUUUCUGAGUUUUAGUCAAAAUAUCAUGUGAGUAGCGAGUUAGUGCUUCUUAGGAUUACUCAAGGAUGUCCUGUUUUUCCUUGUGUCUAUUGUUCUUGAUGUGUGUAUGAACUUAAACACUCCACUCUCUGAUGUUUUCUACAAGUUCUCAUGAGUCACCAUGAUUGUAGCACAUAACACUCACUUAUGGGUUGCUUCAGGUGAAGAUAUAUUAGCAAAUCUUAAUAGUUGCCUGGAUGUUGCAUAUCAGUUAGGUAAACUUGGAAAUGCUACAAAUAUUCUGUUGGAUAAAUUUAGGUUAAUAACUAUGCAUGAAUUGACUACAGGCAGUCGUAAUUUUAACUUGCAUCCUGUUCUGUUUCUUUCCUCACACACAUCUUUUGUAAGGCAUCCAUCCCUGUGCAAAUUUAAUUUCUCAUUUUCUUCAUCUGAUGAUUAGAAGUCCACAGGUACACAAGGUAAAUUUUGAGUCUCAUGGGGAUUUGGAUGUAUUUCAGAAUUAUCUAGAUGCUAAUUCUUAGACUAUUUAUCUUAUUUUCCACCCUGUUGCUUUGCAGAAGUUCCUAAUAUAUCCAACUUGAGUUAGACAUUGCCCCUUAUGGCACCUUGUCUAUCAGCAUCACUAGUUCAUAAGAAUUUAAGUUUAGGUAGUAAACAAUACUUUAAGGGUGAAGGUUGUAGAUGAUGCUGCCUCUCCAUCUUCCUUUUCAAAGCAUAUGGUUAGGAUGAACUGGUUUACCAUAGCAAUCGAAUUGUUCUCAUGCAAAGAUUCAUCAUUGAAGGCCCUGAGUUUCUUAUGUUGGUCGAACUUUGGGCAGUCAUUUUUUUAUGUACUAUUAUUUUAUCUACACUAUUUAUUUGUUGACAUCUGGAUGUGGGUUUAUAGAUAAUGACUGGGAAACUGUUCUUGAUGGCUAAACAUUUAUACCCCUUAAUGUGGUUCAUGGUAACCAGGAGUCUAUGGCCCAGAUUGUGUAGAAAGGAUGUUGACUUUGGUCAAUGUUUCAGUACACUGGGAUUAUAUUUCAGCCAAAACUUCACAUCUCAGCUUAGGAAUUGCUCCACUUUAUUUGUAGCUUAAGAAUUGGUAAGCCUCAUGCCAGAAUAAGGGUUGCCCUACUAGGUUUACAUUUUUUGAGAUCAGCAUACAACUUAAAGAGCUUUUUUCAUAACUUAUAAAAAAAAUAAAAAUAGGCAUCUGAUCUUUUGUUGGUUGAUGCAAUUGUUCUUGAUUCAAGAAUGAAGUACACACAUGGUCUCUUCCUUUAAAGAUGAAGAGGAAUUGAGGAUACAUGUUCUUCACAUUAAAUUUGAGCUCUCAAACAGAAUGAAAAUUCUGAGAAUGCACUUAACUAUUAAAUACAGAUUCUGCUGCUGAUAUGAUUAUUUUCUUAGCAAUUAACAAGUUUGUUUUUAGGCAAAAUAGUUUCUUCCUAUAAAUCUUUUACCAGGACAUAUAUGGAGAUUAACUUAUGAACUGACUCUAUUUUGUAAACAGAAGUAAUAUCUACUGUCUUUGCCUUUUUGCUUGUAAGUUUAGUGCAUGACUGUUGCAGAAUUGACCAUGUAAGGAUAGGUUCUCAGUACCAACUUGGAGCUUGACUGGUGAAAGAAGCGUCACUUAUCACCACUGCAAUUCACAACCAAAUUAAUACCAAUAUUUUCUUAUUAAUUAGGAUAGAUAAAAAUGUUUAAUACAAAGGUAGACAAGGCAGAUACAGCCUUAUCCCAUCUGACAACAUGACACUGAUAAUAGACAGCCAUGCACACCCAAUUUAUUUAAUCAAACAUAAUAGUAAUACCCCACACUUUUUCCAUAUUCCAAUUUUUAUAUAUUAUUACUGAUAAGUACUUCACUGGCCACAUUUGUGGUCAAAACAAGCGCAGGCAGGACCACACUUGCACAUGCCAUCAUUCUCAGCAGCUGCUGGGGCAUUGAUCACGUUGUCAAAGUAGCUGAAGAAAUUACAUGAAAGAACUGUAAGUGUUGAUCUGUUUUAGAUGCUUUUCUUCUAACUAGCAUUUCUGCACAUUAAAUGUUAUGUUGUCGUCUUCUGGUUUAUAUGAUCAAAAUAAAUCAUCGAGAAAUAUUAUAUGUGUUAUACCUCAUUUCCUGCAAGUUAUGCCAGAGAAACUAGAAUUGAGAAAUUGGAUCUUUUUUUCAAAUCAUAAAUAGGAAAGCAAACAUUAAGAUUUUUGCAUUCCAGAAAAAUUGAGGUAUGUGGAGAUGGUAUGGCAUCGUAUAUAUUUUUCAUAUUCAUGAUCGUAAUAAAAUAAUGGUCAACAACUGUCAAAUUUAAAUAUGUUGUAUAUAACCUUGUAGAUUUAAUUACUAUGCUUUAACUUUGAAAAUUAUUUGAAGUUAUCAAAUACAGUUAAGGUAGCUCUAAACAAAGCAGGGCACUUUCCAGUUGAUAUUAAGUUAGUUUCACUUAUGCUAGAACAUUGGCUAAUGAUGUAUCUGUCAUCAUCUUUGUUUUCUGCUUAUGAAAAUAUAGCUUAUUUUUAAUUAUAUUUUCUUUUCACAGACAUAUGUUGGGUGCCCCUCACUUAUGUCACUUGAAAAAUAAAAAGAUCAACAAGUUAGGAAGUUCAUCAUGAAAUAUAAAAUAUCAGAUUUGGCCCCAGGAAAGGAGGUUGGGUAGCUAACACAUAUGCACACAGAAAAAUUAGAAGAAAAAGAACAUAGAUACCUCUUUUCGGCCCCAACAAUCUCAAUUCCAUAGCCGUUUCCCUUCUUCCUGCAAGACAAAUCAAAUUCUUUUUAAUUAUCUCAAUCUAGUGCUUUAUGUGAUUGAAUAAAUAAGGCAUGGAAGACCUGUUUGAAUUCUCCCCAUAUGUUACCACAGCGUGAAGAGUUAUUUUGUACAUUUGAUCACUCGUUAGUUACCAAAACAUAUAAAUGAUUGAGCACUUUGAGUAAUUAGGUAUGAGGUGUAUAUACCAAUUUUUUUUUAAAAAAAAAUGUUGUGGUAUCACAAUUUUAUGCAUAGAGGAUUAUAAAUCCAUUAUUCUCGGUGCAACUCAACAUGUCCUCGACUUGCUAAAACAUAGGCAACACAAGAUGAAGGGUCGAAGUAGAUGAUGACUUACACGCACUGGCUCUUGUCAGCGCAGUCGCAGUUGCCACAGGUUGACAUGUUGAGGUGGAAUGAGAUAACUGAGGGCAGAAGGCUACAAGAAAGAUCAAGAGUUGUGGGAUGUGUUCUUGGGGAUGAGUGUUUGCUUGGUUGGUGCUUAUUUAUAGGCCUUUUUUUUUUUUUUGGUUCCUGAAGAGACCUCCCGUCAUUGUUUGUGCUGUCCACACGCCGCCACCAAGAUAAGCAUCCAAAGGAAUCUCAAUUAUGGGGAGCAGAAGACGGACAUACACCUCUCAUGUCAACAUCUUAAUUCUCUGACCUUUUCCCAAUGUUGGAGAUAGGCAUCGAAGCUUGUGAAGGUUCAUCUUUCCAUACCAGGUGUGGUGGAUAUUCUGUCAUCCUCUUGCUGAGUUGUGAUGGGAGUUUUGUGGAGAGUAGAAUCCAUCAGACUAUCAGGCCAAGGAGGUGGAUAUGAUCUCAUCCAUUGUUCAUCAAGCAAUGAUAGUUUACCCUGUAAACUUAUGCAGGUGGCCAAGAUGGUUGUGAAGCAGGUAAUCUUUGGGGUAUGCUGUCACUAAUUUUGGUCUCUCUGCUUGUUGGUCUAAUAAGAUGAUAGAGGCAUCUUAUUUGAGCAAUGAUUUGAACAAUAUCUACUUGCAUUAUGUUACAGGAACAUCGAUGAAGGGUGGGGAGAUUCUGAAGGUAAUGGUUCUACUUGUGCGCCUCACCUCAACAUUUCUGGCGUGGUCUGGUCUGGUCUUUAAAUCAACAGGUUCUACUGCUUCCUAUACAACAAAUCAGAAUCAGCAUUUUCAAGAUGGGGCCAGUUUUACCAGCAGCAGAUAGGGAGGGGCCCAAAGGCCGGCUUAUUAUAUGCAACAUUCUAGUUAUGGAAAGUAGAACAUCAUGAAUGCAGGCUGCUUCCACGACAAUGACUUAUCAGAGAGGGGGAGGGGGGGAGCGGGCUCAUGCUCAUCGAGUAUCGAAAUGAUGAGGUGUAUGUGUGUGUAUGUAUAUUUGGGAAUUCGCCUAGGGAAUGUAUCGAAAUGAUAUUUUUCUAUUUUAUUUUCUUAAAAUAUGUUGGAUUUUUAAUUAUAUAUUUUUUUAAAAUCAACAAUAAGCAUUGCAUAUAAAGUUAAUAUAUUUUUCUUCGAUCGUGAAAACUUAAUUAAAAUUUCUUUCUUAUAAAUUAAAUUUUAAUUUUAUUAUCGAAUGUUGCUGAUCUUUUUAUCCACUUCCUGCAAUCGCUUUUCUCAGCGUCAUUGACAUCUCACAGAAUUCAUAAGCAAAAUUGAUUAAAAGCUGUAUCUAGACCUCCAACUUUGAUUAAUAGUGCCAAAUCUAAUUAAACUCCUGCUUACUCAUGUCAUUCUUUCACUUCACCUUGCUUGUAAGAAAGAAAAGUAAAAGUAAUCUGGAAAGAGAACACAAAAAAGCAAGACAAAGAGACAAAAAAACAAAAAAACAAAAAAACAAAAGAUUGUGAUAUGAUGCAGAGUUACAAUAUAUCUUGCAAUAUAUCAUAGAAAUGGUUAAGGUCAAUUUUCUCUUUUCCAGAACGAAUAGCUUCGGCACUUUUUCCAUCGGAUCCUUGUGCAGCCAUCUCCACAAGCAUAUACAACUUCUUGAUUGAUAUCUGAAACAGUCCACAUAAACAUAGAGAUCAGUGAUUACCUUUUGAUUCAAUUAUGUGAUGUGACCAAUAACAAGAUUGUGAGAGAUAAUUUACAGCAAAUAAUUUACUUAUACUCAACAUAAUAACUUACAUCAUUCAGUUCUUCAACCGCUAAGUCAAGAUCAUCUUCAGAAAAUACGCUGAGGCUUUGCAGCACCUGGACAGAUAUCAUGAAUUGAGGUUAAAAAAUAAAAAAACAGGAGCAAAUAAUCCUCAGGAUACUUAAACGUUGACAGUAAAACGUUUAGAAUAAUUAUCGCCAUCAAAAAGAUUUUGCCCUUAGAUACAUCUACAGUAAGUGCCAAAUGGUCCUACAUAAUAAAUAUAUAUUGAUUCUAAAAAAUAACUAUAUACUGCUUAAGUCACAUAGCCGCACUCUUUGAGCUGGCUGGAUUCAAAAUCCCUGAAAUGUCACCUGAAAGAACUAUAUUCUUCUUAUAAAAUGCCUGAUCCAGUGUAUGACUCCAUAGACAUGACAAAAUUGGCUCAUAGUUUUUGAAGAGAAAAUAAAUCCCAAGGAAAAGCAGCAAGCAAACAUGUAAUAAAUGAGAUGAACAACAGGAUCCUACUAUUCAUUCCUUGGUUGUGUAUUAUGUUCAUGCAUCUAUCAGUUUGACUUCGGAAAUACCAUUGUAAUAAAUGGUUACGAGGAAAUACAGCUCUAGCCUUCUGUACACCUCCAAAAAUUAAACUGGGCACGACCUUAAACAUAUCUGUUGGCAUGUUACUUUACCUUCUUGGCGUCUUCCCUGUUCAAUCUCGGAACAUGAUAUGUAACAGAGAAUGCAUCACAUAUACCAAGAGACUCCAAAAAUCCCACCUCGCUGCUUGUCCCUAUUACCAGCAUGUUCUUACCCUGAAGAAAAUUAAGACGUCAUAAAACAAACAAAAUAGCUACAGUAAACUAUGGUUCACUGAUGGGAAAAAUCACAAUGAGCAACUUUGGGACAAAAAGAAACUAGAGGAUAUAACAUUGAAGUCAGUGAUAUAGCUUUCUUUUUUCUUUCCAUUUUUUUUUCUUUUUACUAUUCGACAACGAGAACCAUAAUACAGAAAAUAAGAAGAGAACCUUUGGAGGAAGCCGUUUCAGGAGGACUAAUAAUGUCUGUGAAAUUAAAUUUGAAAAGCGCGGUCCAAUAGCAACAUACUCUAAUAACCUGAAGAGGUGAACAUCGCAAGAAUUGUCAACUCACUAUAUACCAAGAGAAUCAGAGUGCAAUACAAGUUUACUUUCCUAAAUGUAAAUAGAGGUUAGUCAAGAAUUGGCUAUCAGAAAUCAAGUUUAACAUAGAAUGAGGUUCUGAGGCUGUAGUCCAAUAUGUUCAAGUAAUACUAGGAAUCUCUGGAAAAAAUCAGAAUGAAUCACACUACCUCUCAAUAUCAUCAAGAAUUAUGAUGCUUAGUUGAGAUUUAUAAGCAUCUUCAAAAACCUGUGAAAGACAAGAUAGUUCUACUUGAGUUUAAUUACUGAAGCUUCAGAAAGAUAGUUCUACUAGUACAAUAUCGGGCUCAUACUAACCUUGACAAUUUGUGCACAUUUACUUCCUUCACUGAGACCGAUCAUUGUUUCUGCAGAGAUCUACGCCACGAAAGGUAUCGAUCAUUAGAACAAAAGAACAACCAAGGCACUCUGACCAUCCAAAAUGAGAACUUACAAUCUUGACAAAUGGGAAAUCACUCUCAAUGCCAAUUGUAGCUGCCAUUGCGGUUUUGCCACUGACACCAAAGAACUAUUAUAUAUAAAAAUGCUAAGCACAUUCAGAUUUUAUCAUUUACAAUAACUCUUGUAAAUUACCUGCCACUAAGACCUUCCAGAAGGCAUGUAACAAGUGGGCUACCCUGGCUUACUUUUACUUGCUCCACGAGAAGCAUAGCUCUUUCAUGUAUGUGCAUGUGUCUCUCACCACAGUCAACAAUGCCAUUAAGCCUGCAUGCCAUUCAAGUUCUGAAGAUAAUACUCCGUAAUCAAAACAAAACUGAGAUCCAAUUCGUGUUUAACAAAUGAAUAGAGUGAACAUUUGCUGGAAAAAGAUAUGGAUAAUUUAGUUUUAAGCCAUAUGCAUUACAAAAACCUUUGUUCAUCAUUAGAAGCCUAAUGAUGUUUCAUACUUUAAUUUUACAAUAAUGUGGUAGAAACCAAAUAUUGCAAAUAAAAAUUAAGGAUUCAAAUGUUGGUCCGACUGGUAGAUACCAAUUGGCAUUUCCAGUCUGACCAAGGAUCAAAAUAGAACCAAAUAGUCCCUAUGGUUGGUAUGUGAACUUUGUAUUAUUUUUUUCUGAUGAUACUGAACAGGAACAAGGUGGUCUUCUACUGAUAUAAUGGUACCACAGCAGUUCAACCAGUUCUGAAAAUGGUACUCAUAUAUAAAACCUUGUAGAAACACCAUUUAAUAUGGAUCAGGUUUUUAGAAAUAUCAAAAUCAUGAACAAAAUUCUUUAACAGCUCUUGCAACAUAGUUUUCUGAAGUGUUUUUUUUAUAUUUAUGAUGACAUUAUUUAAACCCCACUUAAGUAGCAAAGGCUAAUUUUCAAUCAAUCAACCAACAGAAUAGUUAAAAAGAGUGAUAAAAAAAGCAAAGAAAACUUUUUGCAUAUAGGUAAUACCCCACCAUCAAACUAGGCACAGUAUCCAAUCAAAGAUUCAAUGUUCUGCAGAAAAAUGACAAAAGAAUGAAAAAAAACUAGAGGCACAAAAAGAUUAAACAAACACAUUGUUGGUAAGACAUUGACCACAAAAUAUAGUACAGAGAAAAAAUUUAAAUCUGUUUGACAAGUGAUUUUGACAUGAUUAGCCAUUAUGAUUUAUAACUGGAUGAAAAAUAUUGUUAGCAUAUAUGCAUUUCAGAAAAAUGCUUGACCAACUUAGUCACAAAUGAAGCAUGCACCUAAAUCCAGGGUGACUAGAACAUAGUGCAUAUCAAGGGCUGUUUGGCACAAUCAGGUCCCUGUGGCCCCUUCAGGAACACCUGGAGAAUUCUAUUUGAAAUUUCAAAAGCAAGAACAAAAUUAUGGCAACUAUCCCUUCAUAUGGAUCAACUGUCUCAGAAAAACCAUAAACAGCACCGUAUCCAAGUUUGCAAAUUCCAAUGAGAAGAAAUGUCCAGUGUUUUAAGAUGAGAAGGUCUACAAUUAAUAGAUGUAUCUUCUAAGAAGAAGCUAGGAGCCGUUUCUGCUUCAGAAAUGUUCAGAGUUUUAAGACGAGAAGGAAAUCAACACUGAAGGUGUUUCACUACUCCCAUCAACCCCAAAACCAACUAGCUAUAGCAUGUGAAAGAACUCCACAUUCACGCAAAAUUAGUCACUGAAAAUAGCUGAGUGCCUUUUACCUAGUAAAAAUGUUUCUUUAAAAAAAAUCCAAUAACUUUAGAAGGUUCCAACACGUAAGACAGGUUUUAUCCACAAAAAUUGCUCUCUUAAAGUCUUGGGUACUUUGUAUCAUCUAAAUCAUUUCCUGACACGAGAACAAGAAGCAUUUGGAUUCUAGGUUGAGCCCAGGAAUAGGCAGGCAUAAGUUCCCCACUUAAAAUGGGAACAUCUUGGAGUGGAGGAUGUGUCCAUUCAGUGAGUGUGAAGCGUUUAUCAGAGUGGCUAUAGAAGGUUGUUGGCCUUGAAUGUCCCAACAGUAGUGUUGCUAUGUAGUGAUGUGUACCAGCUUUACAAGAAUAAAAUGGAAAGUUAAUUAUACCUGCAACGUUCAAGAUCAUCAGUGGAUGCACCAAAAGCGGGGACAAUCUCAUGAAGAGCAUGCAAAAAAUCAUCCAUAGUGACUUUUAUGCUCUCCUCAUCCAAGGGUUUAGUCAAAUCAUCCAUGCUUAUUUGUCUAUUCAAGGCAAAUGAGACAGCACUUUUAACAACACCUUCCAAUUCUGCUCCACUGUAAUUUUUUGUGCGUGCAGCUGCACAUAGAACAUGAAAAAAAUUAAUUAUCAACCAAAUAUAUGUUGUAGCAAUACCCCCAUUCAUACAUCCAAGAAAUCUUAAGAUGUGCAUGCAUAAGCUCAAUCAUAAAAAAUAUCCUAUUUGUUGAACCAUUAAAAGAAGAGAACAAUUACAGAAAUCAGAAGAAAGCACAAAUAGAUGUUUGUCUCAGUUUGAAUGUACAUGUGACUUAAUGGUAAGAACACUAAACUGCUAAAAGAGGGGAACAAAAAACAAAAACUAAGCCAAUUGACUAAACAUACAACAAAAAAAAGAUCAUCUCACCCUAAAUUUUCUCAAUAUUAUGAUUCACAUCAUCCUUAUUGACAAUUACAUCCUGCAUAUUAUGUUCUAUGACAUCCGUCUCCUGCCAACAACACUUGCCAUUCCAAAGAAAAUAGGGUUCUAAACACUAAAAAUAUAAAGCUCAAGCAUCUUGGCAUCCUACUUGUCUUUCCAAUUGGGUUAGAACACUAUCAACCAUGAUAACGACCUUCUCAUAUACCAUAACCCUCAUUUCAUGUGCAUGUGAUCAGUGUUCACAUCUCUCACAAAGCAUUUGCAUGUUCUUUGGCUUUUUACAACAUUCCAACACCAUAACCAGCUUUCAGAUUUUUUUUCCUCCACAAAGCAUUUGAAGUAGAAAAAACAUGCAUGGACAUGAGUCAAUAAAACAUAUAUGAUGCAAAAAUCUGCAGAUUAGCUACCAUAAAUGAGAUAUCUAAAACAUCUACAUGUUCUCCCAUCAGAAACAACCACAAGAUCCUUUAUCGAACUUCUUGAUGAUCCUAACACAAUUCUUAAACACCUUAUCCUCAUUAAAAGUUGUGAUUAGAUAGACAUAAAACUAACAGUAAUCUCAAUGGCCAAGAAUAAUCCAUGUAGCUCAAACCUAGUUCAUAUCUGUGGGUAUCAUGAAGCAUACCUUCAUAAGCCUAUGUACAUAUUACUAACAAAUGUCAUACUUGCUAACAUGAUCAAAAUUUACUCCCAAAAUAAACAUAAAAUACAUAUACAAAACAAAUGCUGGCAGAAUGUGUGAGCAACUAACAAACCAGUAAAGCUGCUAUCUGUCCACAAAACUUUCUUAGAGCAUAAAUGUAAUGUUCCAUGAAAAGUAAAUGAUUUAUAUGAGUUGAAAUAAAUGUAAUGUUCUCCAAAAAGUAAAUGAUUUGUAUAACUUGAACUUUAAGAGCAUUGACAAUCACUUAGAUCUUUUGCAGUCGGUGAUGUCCCCGAGGAAUGGCCAAAGGUAUCAUGUGAUAACUUGGGUAAUUUUAGAGAAAGCAGGUCUAGAUAUUAAACACAACUCUGUUAUUAAGCAGGUCUAGAGAAAGCAGGUCUAGAUAUUAAACAAAUUGAUAUAUUCAGGAAUAAUUUACCACAAUGGAUUUUGUAUUUUAUUUUAAGACGAUGAUAACAGAGAUAGAACUCAAGUGCUAAGGCAGGCUUCAUUCAAUAAAGAAACCAAAAGGACCAAAUUAGGACUACAUACCAAGCUCUUGAAGGCUCACAUCCGCUGCAAGAAAAGAAUUUUCUUUCAUUUUACUAGUAUGUAUUUGGAGAAUUUGUAAGCGACCAUUCUCAUCAGGGAGGUUAAUCUCAACAUGAACCUCCAAGCGUCCAGGCCUAGAAAAUGAGCACAUCAAAUGACAAGGAUAAAGUAGAACUGCAACAUAAAGCAGGAUCAAGUACAUAUGGGUACCAGAAAGAAAUCAACGGAAUGAACUUCAAAAUAUUUUCCAAAAUCAAGCAAUCACAAGAUGAGCAAUGGACCUUAGCAGUGCUUCAUCCAGUAAAUCCUUCCGAUUGGUCAUUCCAAUCAGCAAUACGUUGUUUAAAGAUUCAACACCGUCAAUCUAGAAUGCAAAAACACUAUGUUAGCAUCAAGGUCCUGAGUGUCAUGAUAUUAUGUAACCCUUGGUAAAGUUCACCUUUGUGAGGAGCUGGUUGACAAUGCUGUCAUGAACUCCAGUACCAUCCCUAGUGGACCCUCUCGACUGCAAUUACAAUAUUUAAAAGGUUAGCAACAAAGUCCAUUUCUGGAAAAAAUUUCAAUAUUCAGAAAAAAGUUCAAACAUAUCUUCUAAUAAAAGAUGUAUCUUGAUUAACAAAAAAAAAUGGUGGAUAAAUUCCAAAUUAAAACAUUUUCAAUGAUCCAUCUCAGAUACACUACAAAAGGAGGGCAACAAAAAAAGUUCUAAAAUAAUAGAAGUUCCUUUACAUUUCAACCAAAUUGCCAAUACCACCUAAGAAUUCCACAAAUAAUUAAUACAACACAUAACACCCACAUGAGGGUGCAAUAUAUGUUUUAAUUUUUUCACCACAAUCGGAUGGAAUUGAUCACACUGUUGGACCAAUGAAAAUAAAUGUAUGCAGAAUAUCAGCAGUAGCAUAAGAUGUGUCAGAUGCAAGCAGAACUAUCUAAAAAGUAGAACGAUAUAGAAGCUAAUAAAUGGAAUCACCAAAGGAUGGAAAAAAAUCAUGAUGCUUGGAAAGUGAUGAUAGCAAGAAAGAAAACUUUUUAGAAAAAGUACCAAAUGUAUCUACCUUACAGAUAGCAUCAAUUUCAUCAAAUAUGAUGACAUGCAAGUCACUCUGAUCACCUGGAAAUAAUCACAUGAAUAAUGUUUUGCAAGGGAACCAAAAAAACACUGUAAAUUUAACAAAUCAAAUAAUUAAGAGACAGCUGCGUACCUUGAGUCCUCUGAUCAUUCUCAGCAUCAGCAAACAAGUCUCUCACAUUUUUCUCUGUUUCUCCAACAUAUUUACUUAAGACUUCAGGCCCAUUAACAAUCUAAAGUUAAAGAAAUAUUUUAUAUUUAAGUGGGCAUGUAUUGGACAAUAAACAGAUUAGCAACCAAAAUACACAAUAACUGUUUGAACAAUGGACUAAUAAAUGCAAUGAAGCCUGGAGAAAUAUAUGCUGCUGAUGGUUUCCACAGUAAGAACCAAACCAAACCUUAUUUUCAUUGGUAUAGUAAUUUUUUUGAACAAAACCAAACAACAAAAUCUAAAACUAGAAUUGUUGAUUUUAAUUCUCAGCUUUAUUUAUAAGCAAAAUUUCAAACCUUAUUUUUUUAUAAGGUACAGAUUUUCAUAUCCAGAUUUCAAAAGUAGAUGAUUAUCUUUCUGAUGCUUAGAUCCAGCAAUUGUGAUGUGUCAUUUAACUCAUUCUUGACAAACUACCCUAUUUCUUUGACAAGAUUUCUAGCCUUUAUUCCUUUCCUAGUUUAUAAAUGUGAAAGAUGCAUACAUGUUUAAUAUGCAAAUUUUUAUUAUUGUUCAUAUUAAGUAAAUUUCAUGACUGAUUGUGCCCACUCUUGCAAACUUAGGUCUUUCCUUUUUAUUUAUUUAUUUUCAUUAUGUAUAAUUGAACUCAUGAAUCGAUAAUUGGUACAAAGCAAAGUCACACAAAGCAUGUAUUUCCCUAGCCCAAACGAGUUGCAGGUGGAAACUGGAACAUUUAUAAACUAUCAAUUAAUUUGGCAAAAGAAUAAUAAAAUUGGUCUCCUAAUGUAAAAUACCCAUUUUUCUUUAGACUGCUCACCUGACUACUUGUUUAUAUUUUUAAAGAAAAUUUUUAGAUGAACCCGGUUUGGAAGUUAAAAAGGAAUCCUUGUUAAGGUGCACUUCCGUCACUGCUCUCAUCCUCAAAUCUAUUUUUCUAUCACCUUUCUGAUCUUCCCAUGCAUGUUAUUGACGGCUUUGAGUUGGUAACUAAAUCAUUUGUUGCUAACAUAUUUAAUUUUAUGCAAUACUCGUACCAAAAUCAUGGUAUACCCAAGCAUCCUAACAGAUGCCUACUAGACCCUUGUCCACAACUAGAAGUCCAUCACUGCAUUUGGUACAAGCAUUUGUAAGAACACUAACUUAAGGUGUACAUGUUCUUACAAGUUAUUCAUAGAAAAUCAGCUGGAUGGUUAACUGAUCCAUGACUGACUUGUAUCAAUAAUCCGAGUUGGACAUUAACUAUAGAGUGGUUUACCCCAUAUCUAUAUGAAUACUCCAUCAUAAUUAACCCAAGCAAACUUAUAUGAAUAUCUACUAUUACAUUUCAAAUAGAGAGUUCUUGAUAGUCGUUAGCAAAUAUAGGUAUAGACUUUUUCAUAUAUCAGAUAGAACACAUGAAAAUAAUUCCUAAAGGAAAGAAAUGCUGAAACAUAUUAAGUAUAAGAAGUCAUGCCAACAGAAUCAGAAGAAUGCAUGAAUUGGUUUUGAGCAUAUAAGUCAAACCGAUUAGCCAGAAAAUGAACGGUUUAACCACAAAGUCAAACCUUUGGCUCCCUUCCAUUCAACAGCUUCCCUAUUUGACGAGCCAUAAGUGUCUUGCCGGUACCAGGAGGUCCAUAUAGCAGCAUCCCUUUCACAUGCUUGAUACCCAAUCUGCAGGAUACAGUAGUCAGAAAGGAAUCCAUACUUGACAAGUUUUCUGUAACAAACUCAAAAAUCUAUUCACAGAAAAAUGUUAACGUUACUUGCUAACAACAUGGGAAGGAAAAACUCGAGAAGCAAAUGCCCUUCGAAAAAUUUCUGUAAAUUCAACACUUAGUCCUCCUAUUCCCAGCUUCAGAAGGUUGAACUCUUUAUGACGGAAUAUUUUGCUGCUAGCAGCUUCACGCUGAUUAAUUAUCUGUAUGAAAUACAAUAUAUAUACAUAUCAUUCUCAUGGCAAAUUGUUCGCAUUUACUUAUGGAAAAGAGUGUCAGAGUUAAUCCCUUUCACAAAAUUUGGUAAAAGAUUAAAUCAACGGAAGAUAUCAAAAGAACCUUAAUGCCCGAAUUUGGAGAAGCUUCAAAAACAAAAUAUGUCUCCAUGGAUAUCAUUCCUCUAUCCACGCCUUUGGAAUCAUCUUGUCCCUCAAGCAGAGCUUGACUAAUCGUAAAUAUAUAGUUGGUUCCACAAUAUUCAAAUAAUACCUUUUGACCAGUUGUCAUAAUCUGUGUACGAAUAUCAAAUAGCUUCAAGUUAAAAUUACACAAACCAAAUCCCACAAUGACUUAAGGCAUAAUCAAACAAGCUUGUUUUUGAAACAGGCCGAAGGCCUGAUACAAAUGUGUUAUGAUGAUUCUAAUUACAAAGUUCACAGGCAACACAACAAGGAUAAAAGUAUGCUUGCCCAUAAUUGAUAAUUCCAUUUGAACACCCUGCUACCUGUGAUCAGUUUCGACAUGGAUACUUUUUAUCAAGAACCAUCGUAUACAAAUUUAAUAAUUCAACUCUUCCUUGGGUCUAAAAAAAAGUGGAUAUAUUAGAACAUAUUAUAGAACUUAUUGUACCAAAAGUUCCUUAAUAAAUCUCAUUUAUGUCAUCAAAAAAUCAGCAAUUUUAGGAUGGUUUGACAAUGAAAUUACAAAAUGCUUGCCAGCAAGUGGAUCGAUACAACCAUUUGGGAAAAUUGUAUAGAAAUACUAUGUAAACAUUACAUCAUAUUUCAGUGGCUUCAUAUUUAAGAAUUUGAUCUUGAUUUUUUUAUCUGAAGCACACAGUUCCUAUGACUUUCACAGAGAAGUCUUCAAUAAGCUUUGAAUUGCAGAAGUUGUAUUUGUUGCAGCAAAGAAGAACUCAACACUCAGGUUAAAGAAGAGGAGAAAAAAAACAGAAGAAACACGAAGAAAGAAAGGUAAAAGUUCUGGAAGCCAUGUCAUCGAGUUGCAUGACAAAAGAAUGAUUCCAUAAAAUAUAGGAGGGAUUUCUAAAGUUCACUCUCUAUUUGUCUGUGUAUGUUGCUCUUACAUUUCAUUUCUUUAAAAAAGUAGGUAUAAUACAGUUUUUCUCUCCCUUACUCAAAUUUCUUUUCAGAUUAAUCUCCUUUCCAUGCGUUGAUGCACACACACAUGCACACUCCUAUUCUUCUAGUUCAAUAACCCUCAUUUCGUCCCCUUUACUGGCUAAAGAACAGUAGCUUCCAACUCCUUUUUAAUUUAUUAUUCAUCAAAUCCAAACUACAUUUCUGUCCUUAGUUCAAGUCAAACAGGUCUAAGUCUAUCGUUCUACCACUCGAGUUAGCCUAAAACCACUGCUUUCAAAAAAUGGUCUGCUCAGUCCUCCGCAUCUACAUAAAGACCCUUUAGCCUAAGUGGAUGUUCAUCAUACCACAUUCAAACCCAUCACUCCAGUCCCUUUUUUUUAAAUACAAAACCUCAAAAGAUACCCCUACUGUAUCUUAUAAGGGCCUCUACGCAGCUAGAUCACAAUAAACCAAAAAACAUAGAAACAAUCAAGUUGUUGAGUUCAAGAACUUGAGCAUCACCCAACUAGCUAUGCAACAUGAGCAAGUUGGUCAAACAUCACAUGCAAAAAAAAAAAAAAAAGUUAUAAUCGUAGAAGAUGAUAAUCACUAAAUAUAAGCCAAUUCAGAAUAAAAGUGUUGAUGUCUUACCUGGUCAAUGAAUUUUUUCUGAAGUUGUUGAGCAAGAAGUACAGCAUCCAGCUACAACAUAGAGUUUGCACUUUAAGACAGCAGCAUUCAAGCAUGGGAUUAGAUUAACAAAAGAAUCUCAAGAUAAUCUUACUUGCUCCGUUCUAUUAGUCUUGCCUUUAACAAAAUCCAACUCUAGUGUGAGUAAUGCCAGCUUAAAGUUAUCCGGAGGAACAAAUCUGAAAGGACAUUCAACAAUAAAGGUGAAAAAAUUGAUAACACAACUCAUUAAGCCAUAUCUAUGCAAUUGCUAGCUAAUGUGAAGGAUGCAUACCUGCUAACUGAGAUUUGAUCACCGGAUGAAACUCUUGUAUGACGACGCUGUAUGGCAUUCAAAGCAAUAUGAUCGCUAGGAAUGUUCUGGUGAGCAGUAGUUCUUUAUUAAGGUUGACGUCACACAACAAAUAAUCAUGUGUAAUUGAAUCGGAUCAAUCUAUGUCCGUAAAACAGCACAAGAAGCAAUAAGUUGGUCCAGCAUCAUGAACAUAAGCAGGUGCUUAACACCAUCAUACCUUAUUCAGUUCCACAAUUUAGAUAUUGCAAAUCUUGGAUCAAAUCAACAUUCCAAAAUCAAGAAACCAAAAUCUUGACAGUUGAAGUUUGAACAACUGCAUUGUCGAUUCUUCUUGAUGCGGAGUCACAAGAAUCGUGAGAGAAAGUUGCUAAUCCGGCGAUCAAAUCAACAUCCUAAAACCAAGAAACGAUGUUCUUGAACAUUAAAGAACAAACAAACCCGAUAAUCAUGGAUACUCGAUCUUUCUUGACGAGGAAUCAAAAGAAUCAUGGAUAAAAGAUGCAAACCCGAUAGUUAUAUCUAAUUCUAUAACCAAGAAACCAAUAUCUCGAAAAUUAAGGUACCAACAGCUGCAUUCUCGAUCCUUGUCGAUGAUAAGUCAAAAGAUCUCACUACUAUCUCAAACAAAACAACUCAAAAGACGUCCACGCAAUUGGAUGGACAAAAUCAAGGAUAUCGUAGGGUGAGGACGACGGAAUCUCCAACGAAUAUGAGGACGUGCUUGGAUCCGGGGGUGGCGAACUUGUUCAUGUCCGCGGGGGAGCAGUAGGCGAAGUUGGUCAGGGCAAGGUCCUGGGUCGGCGUGUUCACCACAGUCAUGGAGUCGGCCGCCGACGAGGCGCCGAAUCCGAACCUACCCGCCAUGGCUGAUCGCAGCGGAGCAAGUAUCAGGCGAGUUAGGGUUCCUGACAGGAAUAGCGCAAGAGAGAGGGAGGAAAAGACCUCGGAGGCGAUCAAACGAGGGAAAUGGAAAACGAGGGAGGAGAGAAAAUAGAGGAGACCAUUACUUCGUUCAGAAGAAAUGGUGGUCUGCGCCGUUAUGAUUCGUGCAAGACUCUAUAUUUAUAUACGUACUCUUGGUCUAUAAGAUUCGUGCAAGACGUGAUGAACUCUUGGCACUGGAGAGUCACUAUGGGCCAAAGCGGAGCUUAUCACCCACCACACGCUCUUUAGAUCCAUAUCGCCAUGGGAGGGCGGCCCAUAUUACAGGAACGCUUGGAGCUCGCAAUGAGCUGUACUGCUCCUCGUUAAUGAUCCAAACCCACGCGAGAAGGUUCCACGCACCGCGCCUGCCGCCCUCCACGUGGAUGCCUCGAUGCGUCACAUGGCCCCAUUCGGUUCCUAACGCCAAGGAGCCAUGCCAUGACUGACUGCUACAUGCUCCUAACAGCCUCUCGCCACCGUCCUGGAGAACCCAAGACGGCUGAUCUGAUCAGAGUUUGGAGGAUGCAAAGAACACGUACGGCAAGUGAGGUUUGAUAGUUUGCCAUAGGGACAAGGAGAAUCACCGAGGUACAGCGGGCACGAAACAAGCGGUCUGCUAAAUAUUGUCGGGUUGCGGAUUUAAGCCUCUGAUCGGAUGCAUUUGCGCGGGUGAUUUGUGCGGUUGGCAGUGUGUGCAAACCCGUGAUGUUGAGAGCUUCCCCCCAUCUGGCAGCUACGGGCCGUUAGGACAUCACUCCGAGAUGAAUCCACUGCUUCCCUGGCAAAUGCAGCACGCACCCAUAUUUCCUCCAAUUACUGAUGGAUGAUCAAAAUUAUGAUUUAUUCACCUAACGCUCGGGUCGUAUCGGUAUGGUUAGGUCCCUUCACAUCAGAACUUGUCAUUAUCCACAUGGCAUAGAAUGUAAAAGACAGAUGCAGUAGUUCGAGCUUUGAUCAAAACAGCAGCAAGCUCCAAAUGAUUAGUGCGAGGUCUUGAUCAUCAGGUUUGGGAAUUGCAGAGAACAGCGCAAGCAUCGGCGGGAUGUACUGUGAGAGUGGCGCUGGUGCACAUCGCCAUGUUCUAGGCCAGCGUCGAUUUAUUGCUCCGCUGGAUGAGGUCUCCGACUUUAGAUCGUUGCCGACGUGUUGUCUGCCAUAAUGCGGGCUGCGAUGUUGCCAUCACGAUGGAUAGACACACGUCAUAAAUGUGGCUCGUUUGGGUUGAUGGAUCGACGUGGUUACGUCGAUCAACCAUGCCAUGUUUAAUGCGACUCUGGCAUGGACAAAAGCUUCGCACCUCUCCAUACAUCCUCAUGAAAGCUUACCCACCGUAGAUUUCUCUUAUCACGUGUUGCAACAUAAAAAAAAGCUGUUACUUUUUCGAUAUUGCUAUUUAUGUCGAAAGGAAUGAGUCGCCCCAAAACUGUUAGGUACGAUGGAACGUCUCACUGGUCUAACACAGCGGGCCACAGGGACCCACGAUAAAAGAACGCGUGUGAGAGGGCAGACGUCGUCCGGCGACCUUUUUCCGGGGUGAUUCAGUCCGUCCACUUACGUUACAGAUGGGGGGGGGGGGGAGGAAGUGAGAGGUGAAAACGGCAGAGAAGUGGAAGCGGCGGUGCACGUCCCACAUUGGGUGGCUUGCGUGGUCACCCUUCAAAUGCUCGGGCGGACACCAUGCAUGCACCUCUCGCUGCGUCAUCUGCCCGUAGCUUCGGCCCACCUCCCUAUCUCGACACCCUCCUGGCUCCUUCCUCCCCCUCCCUCUACUAAAGACCUUCCCACCCCCUCUCUUCCUCCUCAUUGCCUCUCUCUCUCUCUCUCUGUGCGUGCCCAAGCACUGGAAUCAUGAUGACGCCCAUGUAAUGUAGUGACAUGGAGUCAUUGUGCUUUGCGACCAUCGUGUAGUUACUUACCACUUCUCCUCUUUGCGCCUUCGCUCUCGGCAUCAUUCACAGAGACGACGGUCCAGCAGAGUUUAGGGUAUCUUCCCAUCCGCCGACCCCUUGCGGACUCCGAGACGUUAGCCUUACCUUCCAAAGCGGUUUGAUGAGUCCUAUGGCCGACCAAAUCAAAUGGGCAUCCUCCGAGUCCGAAACCAGCGCGACAUCCUCCUCCUCCUCCUCCUCCUCGGGUUCGUCGUCGUCGAGGAGGAGCUCGGGCGGGGCCGCCACGGAGCAGCGGAAGCGGGAGCGGGAUAGCAGGCGGCACCCGGUAUACCGCGGGGUGCGGAUGCGGGCGUGGGGGAAGUGGGUGUCCGAGAUCCGGGAGCCCCGCAAGAAGUCGCGCAUUUGGCUCGGCACCUUCGCCACCCCCGAGAUGGCCGCCCGCGCCCACGACGCCGCCGCCCUCUGCGUCAAGGGCCCCUCUGCCGCCGCCGCCAUCCUCAACUUCCCGAACCUCGCCGGCACGCUGCCCCGCCCCGCCUCCCUCUCCCCGCGCGACGUGCGGGAGGCCGCCGCACGGGCGGCCGCCAUGGAUCCAGCAAGCCCAGGAAGCGCCGCCUCCUCCCCGUCGCCGUCGUCCUCACCGGAGGAGAAGCUUGCCGCGGCGCCGACGGAUGAGCUGGGCGAGAUAGUGGAGCUCCCGCGGCUCGGAGAGGAACUGUUCGACUCUGCUGCGCUAGAGGGCGACUUCAUCUUCCAUGACACAGAGGACCUAUGGACCUACCCGCAGCCAUGGGCGGAGAGCAAAGGAGACCACGAGUUCUUCCCUGAUCCAAUAUGGUCGCAGGAAGUCAACGCAUCCACUGGCUUGGAAGCUCCCUUCUGGGACUUUUCAUGAACUCGAAACACACACACACACAUGGUUCCUUCUCCUCCACCUCUCUCCAGUCACUGUACAUUCGUUGGUGAGCCUGCAAACAACUCUGCAAGAUGAGGAAGCGAUUCUAUUGGAGGAGACAGCGAUCAACGGUCUCCUGUUGUCAUUCUACGAAUAAUUGUAGACGCACUGCAAUGGCUGAACGUAAAAUGCAUACAAGCCAUCUUCUCCUUGCAUUCAAUUAAAACCAUGUACUUCAUCGGUUGAUCUUUCCUGUACAUCAUUAGCAUUCACAAUGCAGUAUGAUGUCUUCCUGUGUGCAUAUAAAAGUUUCUGCUCCAAUGGGUGCCAUUAUUUCUCAUAUUUACUGCUGCUUUCCUUCAAUUUUGGCUUGUUUGCCAAUUCUCAGAGCUUGAGGUCUUUAUGUACACACACACACACACACACACACACACACACACACACACACACACACACACACACAUAUAUAUAUAUAUAUAUAUAUAUAAUAACCUAAGUCGCAAGAAUUGCUAUCUUAUGUUACAUUCCCUUCACAAAUUCACAUAAACUUAUGUUUGGAUGAUUGAAGUGUUACUCAGGGAUUGGCAUCGAGGGACAUCAGGUUCAUGCUCCUUCUCCCUGCAUUUAAUGGCUACCAAAUUUGUAGUGCUCAUCAUCUGCAUGAGAUAACAAGCAUGAAACUGCAUUCCAAAAGCAAUCGACAGGUGGAAUAAGGUCGCAGUGGGGAAACAAUGUGGUUAGGGUCUCAAUUGAAUAAUUGUCUCCAUAAAGUCUGCUGUCUAAAUUGUACGCUAAAUGAUGCACAACGUGACAAAAACAAAUCUCUAUUGAAUUUAAUAUGCACCAAUUCGAACUACUUUUUUUGUUUGGCAUCAAAUGCUGUGAAGUAAUUCCUUGAAAUAACGAGAAAAUUAUAGUCGAUCCUAAACCAUUGGGAUAUUACAACUUUUUCUAUUGAUGCCACAAAGAAUUUUGUGUUCAUCAUCAGUAACCUAACUUCCCUCUCACUGAUUUAUAGAUGAGAACAAUUAUCAAGUAAUUGGCUGUUUAUAUUUAUUAGAGAAACCUUUAAAGUUAUUGGCUAUUAUUUAUAGUCAUGCACAAAUUAUCAAGUUAAUGGACAAGUGUUAAAGCUAAGUCCAACUUCUUUUUAUUUUUCCAAAAAUAUAUAAAACUCGGAGCACAGAAUAAAUCAUAGUUCUUGAGAUCAAAUCUGUCUCCAGAUAAUAUAAUUUUCAGAAGGUCUAGUCUGAUUAAUUAACCAAUGAGCAUUACCAUUAUCCUACGACAUGCAUGAAUAAAUUUACAAUCGAUGAACAUAAUAAAAAUUGACUUGUACACCAAUUUACAUAACUAAUUUCUAUUCGAGAAAAGAAGAAAACAAAGCAGCAAUAGAUUCCUUAGCCUACCAUCUUUCCUUGGCACCUAUACGUUCUCCGAAAAAAAGAAAUAUACAGCUGCAAUCCAAUGCACAAAGCAAAGACAAACCAAUUUGAUAAGGUGAAGAUAAAAGGCUUUACUCAAUCUUCUUACUACUUCUUUUUGGUUCUUCUCUUGGGGAAUGUAGGGGUUGUGUUAUAUGGUCCACAUGGAUUCAAAAGACAAAUAUAGCUAGGAACUCUAAAUUUGAAGCCUCAUUUAACACGCAUAUUAAUGUGGCAAACUUAGGUGCCAUCUUUUAAUUGAUGAUGGGUGCCAAAUGAAAAUACAUAUUACCAAUUAUAUCUACCAAUUGCAUAUAUAUAUAUAUAUAUAUAUAUAUUCAGCAGUGACUUACCAUAUCAAUUAUUGCUAAAAAAAGGGGAGGUUUAGAGAAGUUUGGAGUGGGUUACAGCAUGACGCUGGCAAAGCACGCUUUUUGCAGCUGGAUGGCAUCCGCAACAUGCUUUGUCUGGUCAAGACAAUGACGUUGACUACAGUUCAGAUUUCAAAAUGUUCCCUCCGCCCAAUGAUUGCCGACUAUGAUAUGAUAUUGUUCCCUUCUUCAUCAAAAUUGAUCAAACUCAAUCCUAUCGACCAACUGGAUCAGAUCGACAUUAUCGUCCAAUGUAAUAUUAACAUUACCUAUCCCAAAUCAGCAAUCAUACUCGUAGAUGAAUAGCAUAAAGUCCUGCGCACCAGGUGCCUACCACAGCAGAUGUGGUUCGCCAAACAUACCUCGUAGACCAAUUUAUACAAACAGGUGGAGGGCAGUUGGAAAGCCCAGAGUUGGACUGUCCCACUGCUCCCCGUAGCGGCACAGUAGAAAGGAAAGGACCAUAAAGAUGGGUGUCGACGACGGUGCAUCGGCUUUUUGUGACUCGGGCUGUAUCGCAUCUUCCACGGAUCUGCUAAGUUCCAAAAGCCUCCGUCCGUAGUCCGUGCUCCUUCCGUCGUCCUUUGGUCUUUUGCACCGAGACAUAGCGCCCACUGUAACCCCACUGGCUCAUCGGAGCCCGUAGAGACGCUGCGAUGUUAGGCAGUGGCGUAAGCAAGCAAGGGAAGACUGCUGCGGCCUCGCCGAUCGACCCAACUUUGUGUGCCUGCCACAUGGAAGAGAGCUUCAUGGCAUGUGCUUAACCUGCAGCCAACUUAUGUUGCUCUUCUGUUGCUCAAGUCACAUUUCGGUGCAAUAGCCAGCCACGCACAGACAGAAACGAUUCAGCAGUGGUUGUCUUUGUCGAUCCAUUCUCUCGUUCAAGUUUAACUACGAUCUGCAUGCUGCAAAUGGCACAUCAUGCAAUCUUCUCUCUCUCUCUCUCACUUAUAAUUAGUAGACGUGAUCCAUUUAAUGAUAUUAGAUUUUGGAUCCGAUGCAUCCAAAUAUCGUCGUCUUGUUUUCCUCCAUGGCUACACGACAUGACACCAUGCAGAAAGGCCAAAACUCAACAGAUCUGUAGCUUCUCAUCUGCAACAAAAGACAAGGAAGCCAACACCAGCAGUCGGAAGGAAGAGCUGUUAUCUAAGAUGCUUUGAUGCUUGAUGACCCGAGCGAAUCGACACAUCCAGACAUGAAAUCCUCGCAAGAAGACAAGAUGAAGCGUCCCCAUUGUCGUAUUUUUUAUGAUCUCAAAGCUCAUAGAAUAAUGAACUGAUGAUGCACGUACAGAGCUUCACCGAACUCCGAUCACCAAGAAGACAAAGGACGUCAAUUGGUGCAAAAUAAUAAUAAUAAUAAUAAUAAUAAUAAUAAUAAUAAUAAUAAUAAUAAUAAUAAUAAUAAUAAUAAAAGAGUCCGGAAGUCCUUUUGAAACGACGGAAUGCGAUAUAUACCUUACAACCCAUGCCAACAACAAAAUACCAGACGAAAAAUCUCAUGUUAGAGUGCAGGUUGCUGUCCUCGAUCGGCCAUAUCUCCCAAGAAUCUAAUCACAGUGAGGGAACUGGGAAGAAGAAUAGGAUUCUCAUUACAGGUUACGUGGAACCUGACAAAACUCCUCCUCGUUGCACAAGUAACUCCGUAUCAUUGCUCAUCUCACAGGAUUUAGAAUAGCUAUAAAACACACAGGUGACUGUUGAGCACUGCGCCAUGGUACCGCGAGAACACUAUUUUAAUCGACCGCAGAAGGCCGGGAGAGUCACUUGAAAUCACAUCACAGACGGUAUCAUAAUAAGAUUUGACAGAGUUAGUAGUAGAAAACACAAUGUUGUGUCUCUCACAUACACAAUCUUUCUCCCAGCAAUAGACUGUCAUCACACACAGCAAUUCUUAGUUUUCCCUACCUAUCUUUUUCAAUAUUUUAUAAUUAGACUUGUAUAUAGAACGAAGACUCGGCAAAAAGGUGGUGGUUUGGUCAGUGUCAGCUCGGUAGGCAUGGUGGGUGCGACGUACGACGGCCUGUUAUCCUUCUACCAUCAAGAGCGGGAGGUUGUCGAUGCUCUGUGAAGCCAGCCUGACGCGGUGCCCUCCGCUUUAGGAUCCUAUGAGACUUAGGCCUUCGCCAAGAUCACAUAGAACAUCUGCCUGACUUAGAAUGGGCGAGCCGAGUAAUGUGCGGCCGCACCCAACCUACUCGAGCACAACAUGCCAUUCCACAACCGAUCGCCCCCGCUCGGGUUACAAGCCAACGCUAACGGGCUCGGCGAUCGAGGCGCUUUCACAGCAUCAUAUCAGGCCAAACAAUUUGUCAAAACAAGUGAUGUGGGACCAAGAAUGUUGUAACUGUUAGUGUAAACAACUUUAUGUCGUGUCCUCGAGCCGACGCGGUUUGGUUGGGGGUCCGAAUGACGAGGAUCUUGCGCGGCGUCCCUCGAGAUCUCCCAGUGGCCGAUUACGGUGGUCCGGUCGGGACGUCGCGUCGGGAGGAAAGCUUUGCCGUAGCGCCGGGAAGAGGCGACCCCGUUCUUGCACCUGCACACAGGUCGGGUCGGAAGCUCGGCCCGACCCCUCCGACGAUCAAGUUAGUGGAUAUGGAGGGGGUUUUAGGUGAAUAAGUGCUCUCUUUUUCUCCUCCCUUUUCGUUUAGAACUCGGUGGUAUUUAUAGGUGAGUUUAGUGUUACCUGAUGUGUCUGCCCGCAGGAGCAGAAUCGUACCUCUAAUGGCGUCUGACAUUGCCGUUGGCAUUGCGUGGAGAACCGAACUGCCGCAGGGCAUGGGUGAGCCUCGAUCGCCGUUCUCCUCUGCCUUGGCCAAGCAUGUUGGGUCAGACAACGAUGAAGUCGUUGUCUGGGAGCGGGUGACGUCAGCGCACAUCGCGUCAGCAUUACUGCCCUAUUUGGGGUAGAGUGUCGUCCAGACAUGGCUGACGUCGUGACGCGUCAUGUCGCCAUUAUUAUCCUCAUCAGUAACCACUGAUGCUUCUCCUUAGCGCGCACCAAAUGCUUUGGAUGCUGCUGUAACUAACUGUGCGCCUAGUACGUUUUGGAAGACACGCGAAUUGAACUCCACUGGAUUGUACUCCGCCCUGAAUGAUACAAACCCAAAUGCUAGAGAUUUUAAUCUCUGAAAUUAUUAGCAUCGAGUUGAAAUUUUGUCAUAUAUAUACAAGUUGAAAUUUCUAUCAGAAUUGAGUAUCGAUCGAAGGCCUCUCAUAUAUGUUGCUUUUUUAAUUUUAUUUUUUCCUUUUACAAUUCUUUCUUAUAUAGUUCAUGCUAGUUGAAUAUUAAGAAAACAACAGAAACAAUAAUAAUAAUUAUUAUUAACUAUCUAUGUAUAUUAGAUAGUUGAAAAGAUACACUAAAAUCUCAUAUUCAAGAGAUAUGAACUUGAAUAACCAAACGGUAUAUGAGAAUACAUAAUAUUAAGAAGAUUACCUUAAGAGAUCUAUACAAAAUCUAAAAAACAAACAUAAAUAGUGCAAAUCAAUGAGUGCAUAAAGACGAUGUUUACAACUCUCAAAUUUAUUAUCAAUGAAGUAAAAUUGUAUUAUAAGCAUCAUAAAAAAAAAUCAUAGAGGGCAUGUGUCCCUAGUUUAUUUAAGGGUGAGGGAUAGGAUGAUAGCUUAAACUUGUAUAAAGAAAAAAAACUAAAAACAUCUUAUGAUAUAAUAAAAACUAAAAUCACCAUAGGUUUAGAUGAUUAUACCAUUAAAACAUAUAUGAAUAUUUGGGAUCAUUCCACUUACCAAAAAAGGUGGUGGUUUGAUAGGCGUUAACCCUGUGGGUACGGUGAGUGCGGCGUACACCGGCCUGUUAUCCCUCCACCGUCAAGAGCGGGAGGUGGUCGCUGCUCUGUGAAGCCAGCCUGACGCGGUGUCCUCCGCUUUAGGAUCCUAAGAAGCUCGAGCCUUCGCCCGGGCCGCACGGCUCAGCUGCCUGACUUGGAACGGACAAGCCGAGUAUAGUACGGUCGCACCCAACCCAGUCGAGUUAAACACACCAUCCCACCGCCUCAAGGCUCCCGCUCGGGUUACAAGCCCACGCUACCGGGCUCGGCGAUCGAGGCGCUUUCGCAGCAGAAUAUAACGUCUUUGAUUCUUUUAGAAUUGGCGAUGUGGGACUAAGAAUUGUGCCAACCCGCCACCGAUUCAUCCACCAGCAAAAUGCUUUGGAGGAUAACACAAACUGCAAGUGCCCCAAGAGAAUUGGAUUGCGCACGAACAGCUUCUUUCUACUCCAACGCCCCGAAUGAUGCAUUCAUGGCCAAACUGUGUUGUUCAUGGAUGCAGAUCGAAAAGCGCUAAGUAAUCCCCAAAGGUAAGAAUACGUUUGAUUGUCUUACGAUACAACCUUACCCUAUUAGAAAUUUAAUCUCAUAAUCUAAUAAUACUAAAAGAACAAAAAAGAGAAUCCAAUUACAGAGAAAAGGAAUGAUAAAAAAGUGGGGUCUGAUCGAUGUUAGCUUGCCGAGCAUGGUAAGGUGUGGCUUCGACCAGUCUGCCAUCCCUUCCACUGUCGAGAGCGGGAGGUACUCGUUUCUUUGUUAGGAUGCGUAUGACUCGAGUCUUCGCCUGGAGUCACAUUGCUCAAUUUCUUGACUCAAAAUGGGCAAGUCGGGGUUGGGUGGGUCAAACCUAACCCAAUCAAGCACAACACAUCAUUCCACCUCCUUCAUGCCCUCACUCAUGUGACAAGCCUGUGCUACGAGGCUCGACAAUUACAAGUAUUUCACAGAGUAAUAUAAAGGCAUAAAAAUAGGUAAAAACUAGCAAUGUGGGACGAAGAAUAGUGCGACCACUUUCCCCUCCUCCCUUUGCAGAGAGAUUCACGAACCAAAUGCUUUCGAGAGGGAACAUAGGCUUGGAUGGUGUAUUUGUCCACCUGUUUUUAUUUUGGAGAAAGAAUUCAACUGCAUUGUAAACGUAAAACUCCUUCCUACUCCCCUCCUCAAUGAUAUAUAAAUAUUUAGAAAAAAACUUUAGUUUUCAAAAAUUCUCCAUCUCAACUUUUAAAAAUAUAAACAAAGUACCUAUUUCGUGCAUUAAAACAUCGUUUUAUCUCUACUUUUGUCGGAUCCAUUAUUACCUCAACCCUAUAUCAAUGCUCUAACUCUUUUCCCCUUUGCUAAGAACAACAAUAGAGUAGGGGGUCACGAAUCCUUGGUACUUUGUGUCUUCACACACGAGUUGACUUACGCACUUAGCCAUGCUUUUAUCUUGAACAGUCAUCCAUUACCCACAGCAUUGUUGAUCGCCUUCAUGAGUGGGCCCAGCCAAACUCUUUCCCCGCCUAUGAUCGAUGACGAGGGGUGCUUAUGGGCGAUUGCGAGGGUACACAGUAUGCCUCCCCUCCUUCCUCACCCACGAACAAUGAUGAGUGAAGGCAUAGGGGUCGUGGCCCUUGGUUCUUCAUUUGCAAUCGAUAACGAUAGAGUUCAAAUAUAUAUUGUAUAGCUUAAUAUUUUCAAAGUUACGAUCGCCUAAUAUUUUUUAAGAAUAUACAUAUUUAGAAUUUUUUUAAAUCUAAGAUCUAUAUAAUAUUUAUUUAUUUUUAAUUAGUUUAGUCCUUCUAUUCAAAGAUACGAACUUGAAUAAUCGAUGAUAAAAUAAGACAUAAUAUCAUGAAAAAUAAAAAAAUAUUUUUUUAGAAAAAUUAGAAAACCAUAUUAAUUAGUAAAAGCUGAAAAAAAAUAUUAGCAUCACCAUGGGCUAAGGAGUUACAAAUCCUAUGAAAAAUCAAUUUAAACUAAGCUAUGUUGAAAUUGCAUAGUUGAUCCUUUCUAAUCCCACGUCAUUGGGUUUUAGAGGAUAAUGUGAUGGGACAUACCAUGGUACUUCAGCAAAGCGGAGCUUUCUUUCUAUCAUUUAAUAGUCCUAUGCGUUGUAUCUUACUAUUAUUUUUAAUGCGAAAAAGUGGUGGUUUGGUCAGUGUAAGCCCGAUGGGUAUGGUGGGGGCGGCGUGCAUCGGCCUGUUAUGCUUCCACCGUCAAGAGAGGGAGGUUAUCGCUGCUCUGUGAAGCCAGCCUGACGCGGUGUCCUCCGCUUUAGAAUCGCAUGUGACUCAGGCCUACGCCAGGACCGCACUGCGAAGCUGCCUGACUUGGAACGGGCAAGCCAAGUCUGGAAAUCACCGGACCCAACCCAAUAGAGCUGAACACAACAUCCCACCACAUCCUUGCCCCCACUCGGGUUACAAGCCUGCGUUACUGGGCUCGGCGAUCGAGGGCCUUCCGCAGCCUCAUAUAACUUUUUGCGAGACUCUAAAUAUUGGCGAUGUGGGACUAAGAGCACUUCCUCCGCUCCCUCCUUUCCCUUUCCGAAAAUUCAUGCACCGCGUGCUUUCUGAGAGAACCCGAAUUGCACCCAAACUUUCGAUCAUGGUUCUUACCACCUUUUCAUCACCUAAAACUAUUUCAUCGGCAAAGAGGCCAUUUGAAUAAGGUCACUAUUCAAAAGCUUAAGAAUAAGGUUACUAUUUAAAUGCUCGAGUUUUUAGAAAAUAAUAAAGUAGAAGAUAUCAAUAGAAUUGUGUUAAUCAUCACCUCUUUACUCUAACGUUUAUCAUCUUUAUAAAAAUUAUCAAAAGAUAAAAGGUGCUUCAUCUCCUUCUCUUUGAAGUUUAUUUUUAGGUUGCCCUUCGUCCUUGUACAUUUUUCAAUGAUAAAUCAUAUAUAAGAUUUAUGACCCAAUGAGCUAUCUCCUUUCAAGAUGAGUCUAUCAAUAUUAAUAUCAAUUUGUCUCUCUGUGACUCCUGAGGUCGAGGUAAGUGUUCUUGGUGCUUAAGGAUGAAUCGCGCAAGAUAAAUCUGAUGUAUGAAUUCUUCAAUAUCCUUUUUCAAGUCUCGAUAUUCAUUUGUGUCAUGGACGUAAUUCAGAUAGAACCGAUAAUAUUUAGAUCCGUCUUUUUUUGCCAAUGAAGUAUUCAUCGAGUGAGAGUCUUUUAAGAGUCUCUUUCCUUUUAUCGGUAGAAAAAAACUUUAAUUCUAAGCAUAUUCAAGGGGGUUAGCUCAGACCUUGGGCGAGGUAACUCAAGUCGUUCGUUCUUCCUCUAUUGUGAUGACCUCGGGGUCGGGGUGGACUAUAGUUGCUCUUACUUCGACCUCUUGUGCGGCUGACUCUUUACGCUUACCAGAUAUUAUUAUCCUGAUGGUAAUAUAUUGAUUGACUCUUUGAAGUGCCUGUAGUAUUGUCGCCGAUGACCUCUCCACUAACGACGAGAAGAGAUGAGAGGACUUGAGACUCAUCAUGAAGGUUUGUAUCAAGAGUGACGAACGGAUAUACCACGCUUUGGAUUUUAUUAAUGAAACUAAGUGAUGAAGUUUGUAAGAAUUUCCUUCAAUUGCAUGAAUACGAGAAGCAUUGACAUUGCUAGCCUCGGGUGCACAUUCCCGAUGAAGUGAAAUUCAAACUUCCUCGUGAACUAGGUAAUGAAACUGAUGGAGAGUGGCUUCAGAUAUAAGUAUCAUUCUCGUGUUAGGUCUCUUAAUAUAGUCGAGAAUGUGUGACACAUCAAGGCAUCCGAAGUGUCAUACAAUAAUAUUUAGGCAUGGAAAGUUAUAAUGUGCUCCAUUGGGUUAGCAUUGCCAUCGAAUGCCUCCAACGACGGUGGUGGAAGAUUGUUAGAAUCGAUUCUUCCUAAAUUUUCUAGAUAAAUGAUGACCGACUCGAGGUGGAGUUAACCAAUGCUUCCCUUUUGGAUUAUUAAAAUUUUUAUCAUAUCUCCUUCAAACGAUGAUCCAUCUAUCAUAGUUGGAUUUGCAAGGAAUCCUUCAUCAAAUUCGUCGAUCUAGUCUCUGAUUUAAGCAUGAUAGAAUCGUGAUAUGGAAUGCUAAAUUUCAUGAUUAUGGAGCGAAGUGCUCUCUCGGCCAUGAUUCGAUAGGUUUUGGGUACUUUUAGGAUGUAACACUAUGUUGGAUGGGGGAAAGUUGAUGGGUGCUAGUGGUGGGUGAGCCAGUGACAACAACUGAGUUAGUGGCGUUGUCUAUUAAGCUAACUAGGGUAAAUGUUAGAGAUUUUAAUAUAUAAAAGAAGUUUUAUAUUUUAAUAUAUAGAAUAUGCAUACUUGCAAGGCAUCUUAUGUUUGUCAAUUGUUGUCACCCCUUUUUUCUUAUUUAAGAUCCCUUCUGAUUUUUUUAAUCAUAAUUAUAUUUUUACUGUUUUUUAAUAUUUAAUUCCUUCCAUCGAAAGAAAUGAACUUGAAUAACGAGAUGAUAUAAUAAAAGACACAAUAUCAACAAAAAUUUCUCAAGACCUACAUAAAGAAAAAACAAUUCUUUGUAAAAAGAGAAAAAGCUAUAUUAAUUAGCAAAAACUAAAAAAAAACGAAGAGCCGUUAGUAGCCUCCGAGGAAGAACAAAAAGUGGGUCAGCCUAUAAAAGUUGGCGUUGCCAUGGGGCUAAGGAGUUACAAAACCUAUCAACAACCAAUCCAAACAAACCAUGCAAAUCAACAACUAUACAAAGAUGAAUGAUGAUCUUAUUAAAUAUUAAACUUAAUAUUUAUGAAGCAAAAUGAAUGUGCUUGUCACAAUAAAAUCAUAAGAGUUCACGAGUGCUUAAGUUUUUUUUACGGCUAGAAUAAUGGAAUAGAUAAAACUUUGGUCGAGCUUACGAACAUAAAAAACGAAAAAAAAAUUAAAAUUUUGGUUAUGUAAAAGCUCAAUAAGAGUUCAAAAUUGGUUAAACUAAUCAGUGUUGCCCAUUUGUGACUGACAUCCACACGAGAUAGCCGAUUAGUUAUUUUUUAUUACUGGAAUAACGUGCAUCUCGACACUGCACAUUGACAAAGCCGAGCGCAUACCUUCCAUUGUCAAAAUCAACUAUGCUAAUGAUCAUGUUAGUGCGAUGGGUUCACUCUGUCAUUUGCCUACGCAUACAAUAUAUACUUUAGAAAACACAGAUAUAUUGAAAUUGCAUAGUUCGUCGUGAUCCUUUCUAAUCCCACACCAUGGGCCUUUAGCGGAUGAUGAGAUGGGACAUACUUCGGUAUCUCAGUAAAGUCAGAGCUCAUUCCUUAAAGGUUUUAUUAUAUUAAUUAUUGAGAGAUUAUAGAUUUUCUUUUAUUUUUUUUUGUUUUUAAUACAUCGCUCGUAGUAGUCUUAUGAAAGAUAAAAAGAGAAGAGAAUACGACUACAGUAGUAGCGACAACUAUAGCUUCAUCGCUACCACUAUGGUGAUUGUUGUAGCUUGUUGUGAUUGUAGCAUUAUCGUUGCUUAGGGCAACUACAACAAUGUCGUUGCGGCAUUUGUUGGCCAUGGCUGUUGAUAAGUCGCAUGCGAAGAGCUAUGCAACCACGAGCGAUGCAGGCGACGAAUGACCAGUGCACCAUCAACAAGACCUGCAAGUGUGGGCGUAGUGGGAUGCGACGACGACAACAACAUGAGAAUUUGAUUUUUUUUAAAGCACAUUUUUGUACCUCGAAUGCAUCUUGAUAUAAGAAAAUCAUAUCUCCUAAGGGCUCUUCACUGAUUUAAUCACCCGAGGAGAAGCACAAGUAAAAUUCUCCUACAUCAUUAGAAUCCAUGAAGUGAUAUAUAACACGAAUUACGAUCAGACCUAAACAAAAGAGGAAUCUCUCGAGCGACAUAACAAAAAUGAAUCCCAUAUUUGCUCUUUACAAUCAAUCUUUUGGCAUUCACUAAAAGUUAGACUAAUUUAGUUGAUAAAAAUCUUCGUUGUAUUUUUUAAAUAUUAUUAUAAAAAUGAAUCCCAUAUUUGCUCUUUACAAUCAAUCUUUUGGCAUUCACUAAAAGUUAGACUAAUUUAGUUGAUAAAAAUUUUCGUUGUAUUUUCUAAAUAUUAUUAUCAGUGUUGUCCCUCUUGAGAUAAAAAAAAGAAAUCGGUGUGCAAAAAGUGGUGGUCUGGUCAGUGUUAGCCCGAUAGGUACGGCGGGUGUGGCGUGCACCGGCCUGUUAUCCUUCCACCGUCAAGAGCGGGAGGUUAUCGCUGCUCUGUGAAACCAGCCUGACGCGGUGUCCUCCGCUUUAGGAUCCCAGAUAGCUCGGGCCUUCGUUCGAGCCACAUAGCUCAGCUGCCUGACUUGGAACGGGCAAGCCAAGUCUAGCACGACCGCACCCAACCUAUUCGGGCUGAACACAACAUUCCACCACCUUAUUGCCCCCACUAGGGUUACAAGCCGGCGUUACCGGGCUCGGCGAUCGAGGCGCUUCCACAACUUCAUAUAGCCUGUCAGUGAAUCCUAAAAAUUGGCGAUGUGGGACUAAAAACGCUCCCUCCUUUUUCCUUUCCGAACAUUCGUGCACCGCAUGCUUUCCAGGAGAAACCCGAAUUGCAUCUAAAGUUUCGAUCAUGGUUCCCCACCACCUAAAACCAUUCCAUCCCCUUCGAACAGACCAACAGAAGAUGCCCUGCAGACCCCUCCAGAUUACCCGACUCCUAAUCUUGAAACCUCGAAACCCAAUGCUCUCCUGCAUCGGGGAUUCAACAUGUUUCGAGCUAAAUUUCUCCUACAUCAGCUGACCGCAAUGCUGUAACUUUGGUGAUGAUGAAGAGGUGUAAGCUGAUAAAUGCUAUAACAAUGCCCGAAUACGUUGUCGGCCUCGUUGCAGAAGAGGAUCGACUUUUAGAUUGUGAAUCUGUGUCUUUGAACAUAGAUGCGCUAGCAUGUAUAUAAACCAUUACUUCUUAAUUCGAUGACAUUAAUAAAUAUAAUUGAUACGUCAUAUUUUGGCCUCGAAGACAUAUCAGGUCAGAAUCCAUACUAAGGCACUGCUUGACACGUCACAUCUUGGGAACCACAAGACACGCCAAGUCAGAAUCCAUACUAAGGCACUGCUCGGCAUGUCACGCCUCAGGAACCCCGAGACGGCGCCGCCCCCAAGACACGCCAAGUCAGAAUCUGUACUAAGGCACUGCUCGGCACGUCUACCAUGCCAAACCUCGUACGACUGACCCACGUACAAUAAUAUAAAGACCUCUGGCCGGCAUCUGGCUAGGAGGGGAAAAAAGGUGGUAAAAUCAAUUGAUCACUCUACUGACUUGUUCGUCAGAGGGUUCUCGUCGGGAAUCACCCAACGAGGGCCAUUUUUGAAGGAAAAUGCAGCCACCUCACGAAGACGAGCUACCAACCACCCGAGAAUCCCCAUCCAGUGCACGAAGGAGAGCAGCCAAUCGGUCCAUAUCCUAAACAAUGCCAACCAGUACUCCUUCUCGAGGGCUUGACCACCUCACGAAGAUGAGCUGCCAACCACCUCAGAAAAAGAGAGACGUAGCUCGACAUACACGACGCUCGGAUCGGCACACCAAGGAACACUGAUCAACACCCCAUUGCAAGGGCCCGAUAGACCUCGAUAUCCAACUCAACCGAUAGAAGACUCCCGACAUCGACCCGUAGACCAGGCUGUGCUAACUCACAAGCCACAGCACAUUUGUUUACUAACAUUUUGACGCUAGAAGGAGGGCAUGUCGCAAGAGCAACAGAUAGGGGUCCUCCCCGAGGGAGAACCACCGACCGACCUCCCUUUUGUUAAACCAAAAAGUCAGGCCUUCCCCACCCCCGGAGACAGGAGGAUCCCGGCUUCGAUGCUAGAUCGCUACUGUCGUCUGUUCAACGACCCGGGAUUGUCACCCCCGAGGCUCACCAUAGGGCCCUCGGUCGUGACACCCGAGGCAUUCCUUAGCCUAACCAAGCAAGUACAGGCCAUGGCGGGCAUGAUGUAGACGCUCGCUCCAAUCAUUCCUCAGAUCGUGCGGCUAGCGACGCCCCCGACCGACCCGUCCCAACAGCGACCGAACAGGGAGCAGGUCGGGACUGGAGAAGCCCAAGAGCAAGCAACGGACUCGAGAGGUCCGCCCGAGUAGAGCAUACUCGCACCCUGCCGAAUCACACCGCUCCACUCCGAGCCCGACACCAUAUCGUCCGACUCGGUGGAUGACUCGUUCAGGAUCCAGUUGUCUCGGAUCAACCAACGCUUGGAUGAGUUCCAGCGCGAGUUCCAGAAAUCGCGAUGCAAGUCGAAUGAAGGCGGCUCGGGCGAAUCGCCUUUCACUCAGGAAAUACAUGACAAGCCUGUACCACUCGACUUUAGGUUGCCCACAUUAGAGAUGUACGACGGCGGCUCUGACCCCGCAGAGCAUGUCGUCAUGUUUCGGGCUCAGCUAUGGCACCUCCAAUGCAUUGAUGUGUCGGGAAUUCCCGACCACCUUCAGGGGCCAGCACGAGCGUGAUUCAACCGGCUGCGCCAGUCCUCAGUCUCAUCCUUCGACCAGCUCACAAGGGAGUUCGAGCAAAACUUCCUCACCAACGUGCAACCCAAGCCUUCUAUCGCUACACUGCUGGCGUUAUCUCAACACGAGGAUGAGUCGCUCUCUCAGUUCGUGGCACAUUUAGCCACCGAGAUCUAUGAAUUUUCGGACGCUCAUCUCUCUCUAAUAAUGCAGGUGUUUCUGAUGGGCUUGAAACCUUCAAGGUUCUUUUGGUCACUAAUCGAGAAGCCUCCAGUAACCAUCCCCGAGAUGCUCCAAUGCGUCAACCAGUACAUCGCCGCCAAAGCUCUGGUGGUGGGAAAGUGCAUGGACAGCAAGAGGCCAAGGGCGAAACAAUCCCGGGGAACGACUUCCGUAGCCCCAGUGCAACCCCGCUAGAGGCUUGACUGACAAGAGCUACUGCUCCUGAGGCCCCCGCCUCUCCCUCUGAGCAUGUUCCACCAGGACUAUGACCACGGCACGGAAGAUUGCUGUGACCUCCAGAAUCAAAUCGAGGACUUGAUCCGAAAAGGUUAUCUCAAGUGCUAUGUCAAGGAAACCCGAGAAGCAACUCCAUGUCCUAGGGGACCCUUCGAAAGACGCCUCAUCAUCCAAAAUAUCAUGUCGAAAAGCCACUCGCGACAAGAGGUCCACAAGCUCGCCAGAUCGGUUCCCGACCUGCGACUCGCCGACCCAUCUCUUGCCUGAGCCGCUCUAGAUCGGUUCCCGACCUGUGCCUUGCCGGCCCAGCUUUUGCCCAAGUUGCUCCAGAUCAGUUCUCGACCUGCAGCUCGCCAGCCCAGCUCUUGCCCGAGUUGCUCUAUAUCGAUUCCCGACCCGCGGCUCGCCGGCCGAGCAUUUGUCCGAGCCGCUCCAGAUUGGUUCCCGACCUAUGGCUCACCGGCCCAGCUCUCAUUCGAGUCGCCCCAAAUCGGUUCCCGACCUGCAGCUCGCCGGCCCAGCUCUUGCCCGAGCCGCUCCAGAUCGGUUCCCGUCCUGCGGCCCGUUGGCCCAGCUCUUACCCAAGUCGCUCAAGAUUAGUUCUCGACCUCAGGCUCGCCGGCCUAGCUCUUGCCUGAGCCGCUCUAGAUCGAUUCUCGACCUGCGGCUCGCCGGCCUAGCUCUUGCCCAAGCGGCUCCAGAUCGGUUCUCGACCUGUGCCUCGCGGGCUCAGCUUUUGCCCGAGUCACUCCAGAUCGGUUCCCGACCUACGGCUCGUCGGCCCAACUCUCACCCGAGUAGCUCCAGAUCGGUUCUCGACUUGUGGCUCGCCAGCCCAACUCUUGCCCGAGCCACUCCAGAUCGGUUUCCGACCUGCGGCUCGUCGGCCCAACUCUUGCCCGAGUUGCUCUAGAUCGAUUCCCGACUUGCGGCUCUCUAGCCCAGCUCUUGCCCGAGCCAUCCAGAUCGAUUCCUGACCUGCGGGUAGCCAGCCCAGCUCUUGCCCAAGCGCUCUAGAUAAGUUCCUGACCUGUGCCUCGCUGGCCCAGUUCCUGCCCGGGUUGUUCCAGUUUGCUCCUGACUUUCGAUUCGGAGUCGAGCUUACUCACUUGGUCCCCAGAUUCAAUUCGGAGCCGAGCUUACUCACUCGGUCCCCAUAUCCGAUUCGGAGCCAAGCUUACUCACUCGGUCCCUAGGUUCAAUUCGGAGCCGAGUUUACUCACUCGGUCCCUAUGUUCAAUUCGGGGAGCCGAGCUUACUCACUUGGUCCCCAGAUUCAAUUCGGAGCCGAGCUUACUCACUCGGUCCCCAUAUUCGAUUCAAAUUCGAGCUUACUCACUUAGUCCCUAGGUUCAAUUUGGAGCCGAGCUUAGUCACUCGGUCCCUAGAUCCGAUUUAGAGCCGAGCUUACUCACUCGGUCUCCAGAUUCGAUUCGGAGUCGAGCUUACUCACUCGGUCCCCAGAUCCGAUUCAGAGCCGAGCUUACUCACUCAGUCCCCAGGUUCAAUUCGGAGCAGAGCUUAGUCACUCGGUCCCCAAGUUCAAUUCAGAGCUGAGCUUAUUCACUUGAUCCCCAGGUUCAAAUCGGAGAUAAGCUUAUUCACUCGGUCCCUAGGUUUGAUUCGGAGUCGAGCUUACUCACUCGGUCCCCAGGCUUAAUUCGGAGCCGGGCUUACUCACUCGGUCACCAGGUUCAGUUUGGAGCCGAGCUUAGUCACUCAAUCCCCAGGUUCAAUUCAGAGUCGAACUUAUUCACUCGAUCCCCAGGUUCAAAUCAGAGAUGAGCUUAGUCACUCAGUCCUCAGGUUCAUUUCUUGCUCGGGUCGCUCCAGAUCGCUCCCGACUUGCUACCCAUCGACACCGAAACCCGAGCCCGAGCUCGGUCACUCGACCCAUAGGCCCAAUCCAGUGUCCGAGCCACGCAUCUCAGCCAAUCCAACGCCCGAGUCGCAUCUCGGCCAAAUCCAAUGCCCGAGUCGCAUCUCGGCCAAAUCCAGCAUCCGAGCCACGCACCUCGGCCAUCCAACACCCGAGCCACGCAACUCGGCCAAUCUAACGCCCGAGUCGCAUCUUGGCCAAAUCCAAUGCCCGAGUCACAUCUCGGCCAAAUCCAACGUCCAAGCCACACACCUCGGCCAUCCAAAGCUCGAGCCACGCAUCUCGGCCAAUCCAAUGCCCAAGUCGUAUCUCGGCCAAUCCAAUACCCAAGUCGCAUCUCGACCAAAUCCAACGUCCAAGCCAUGCACAUUGCCCAUCCAAUGCCCGAGCCACGCAUCUCGACCGAUCCAACACCCGAGUAGCAUCUUGGCCGGUCCAAACGCCCGAACCACACAUCUUGGCCGAUCCAAUGCCCGAGCCAUACCUUGCGGCCAAUCUUAUGCCCGAGUCACAUCUCGAUCGAUCCAACGCCCGAAUCACCGGCCUAGUCUGUUAAUCCAAGUCGCUCCACGUCAACCCCUGACUAGCUACCCGUCAAGUCUCUAAACCGAGCCACCCCGGCUCGCUCGCCAACUUGCAAACUCGGCAGUUGUAACACCAAGUCGUGCCAAACCCGUUAUCUAACCUACGACACGUCGGUGUCGCCUCGUCGGUUUCGCCACGUCGGUUUCGACACGUUGGUUUUGCCUCGUCAGGCCCCUGCCUCCUGAUCAGUAGAGUCGAUCUUGCACGAAGCAUGGGGCGCUACCCUUCUAAAUCGCCCCAUGACGAGUUAAUCCAACUUCCCCUCAUGAACGAUCAGCCUCACUUCGAAGUAUCAUAUAAUAAUAUUUGGGCAUGGAAAGUUAUAAUGUCCUCCAUUGGGUUAGCAUUGCCAUCGAAUGCCUCCAACGACGAUGGUGGAAGAUUGUUAGAAUCGAUUCUUCCUGAAUUUUCUAGGUGAAUGAUGAUCGACUCGAGGUGGAGUCAACCAACGCUUCCUUUUUGGAUUAUUAAAUUUUUUAUCAUAUCUCCUCUAAAUGUCGGUCCAUCUAUGAUAGUUGGAUUCGCAAGGAAUCCUUCAUCAAUUUCGUCAACCUAGCCUCUGAUUUAAGCAUGAUAGAGUCAUGAUGUGGUAUGUUAAAUUUAUGGUGAUGGAGCGAAGUACUCUCUUGACCAUGAUUGGAUAGGUUUCGGGUACUCUUAGGAUGUCAACAUUAUGUUGGGUGGGGGAACAUUGAUUGGUGGGUGAGCUAUUGGGCUAACUAGCGUAAAUGUUAGAGAUUUUAAUAUAUAGAAUAUGCAUACUUGCAAGGCAUCUCAUGUAUGUCAAUUGUUGCAACCCCUUUUUUUUCUUAUUUAAGAUCCCUUCUGUUUUUUGAAUCAUAAUUAUAUUUUAACUGUUUUUUAAUAUUUAAUUCCUUCCAUCGAAAGAAAUGAACUUGAAUAACGAGAUGAUAUAAUAAAAGACACAAUAUCAACAAAAAUUUCUCAAGACCUACGUAAAGAAAAAAAAAUUCUUUGUAAAAAGAGAAAAAGCUAUAUUAAUUAGCAAAAACUAAAAAAAACGAAGAGCCGUUAGUAGCCUCCGAGGAAGAACAAAAAGUGGGUCAGCCUAUNNNNNNNNNNNNNNNNNNNNUCAACUAUGCUAAUGAUCAUGUUAGUGCGAUGGGUUCACUCUGUCAUUUGCCUACGCAUACAAUAUAUACUUUAGAAAACACAUAUAUAUUGAAAUUGUAUAGUUCGUCGUGAUUCUUUCUAAUCCCACACCAUGUGCCUUUACCGGAUGAUGAGAUGGGACAUUCCUUGGUAUCGCAGUAAAGUCAGAGGUCAUUCGUUAGAGGAUUUAUUAUAUUAAUUAUUGAGAGAUUAUAGAUUUUUUUUUAUCUUUAUUUUUUAUUUUUAAUUCAUUACUCAUAAUAAUCUUAUUAAAGAUAAAAAGAGAAGAGAAUGGGACUACAGUAGUGUUGUUGUGGGCGACAACUAUAGCAACAUCGAUACCACUAGGGUGAUUGUUGUAGCUUGUUGCGAUCGUAGCAUUACCGUUGCUUAGGGCAACUACAGCAAUGUCAUUGCGGUAUUUGUUGGCCACGGUCGAUGUCAACUAGACGUAAAAGACCAUGAUACUCAGCGGUUGCAUGACAAACUCGUAAGUAUUAGUGGGUGCCACAAUGACUAUGUGGUUGCUAGUUGAUACAAAAUCACGUAUGGCUGCGAUGACGAUGAGGUCGUUGAUUAGUCACAUGCGAAGAGCUAUGCACCGGUAACGAAUGACUAGUGCUCCAAGUGUGGGCAUAGUGGGAUGCGAUGACAACAUGAGAAUUUUUUUUUUUUUUAAGUAUAUUUUUAUCUUGAUAUAAGAAAAUUAUAUCUCCUAAGGGCUCUUCACUGAUUUAAUCACCUGAGGAGAAGCGCAAGUAAAAUUCUCCAGCAUCAUUAGAAUCCAUGAAGUAAUAACGAAUUACGGUCAGACCUAAACAAAAGAGGAAUCUCUGUGGCGUGCACCGGUGUGCAAAAAGUGGUGGUCUGGUCAGUGUUAGCCCGAUAGGUACGGCGGGUGUGGCGUGCACCGGCCUGUUAUCCUUCCACCGUCAAGAGCGGGAGGUUAUCGCUGCUCUGUGAAACCAGCCUGACGCGGUGUCCUCCGCUUUAGGAUCCCAGAUGGCUCGGGCCUUCGUUCGGGCCACAUAGCUCAGCUGCCUGACUUGGAACGGGCAAGCCAAGUCUAGCACGACCGCACCCAACCUAUUCGGGCUGAACACAACAUCCCACCACCUUAUUGCCCCCACUCGGGUUACAAGCCGGCGUUACCGGGCUCGGCGAUCGAGGCGCUUCCACAACUUCAUAUAGCCUGUCAGUGAAUCCUAACAAUCGGCGAUGUGGGACUAAGAGCGCUUCCCCUGCUCCCUCCUUUUUCCUUUCCGAACAUUCGUGCACCGCAUGCUUUCCAGGAGAAACCCGAAUUGCAUCUAAAGUUUCGAUCAUGGUUCCCCACCACCUAAAACCAUUCCAUCCCCUUCGAACAGACCAACAGAAGAUGCCCUGCAGACCCCUCCAGAUUGCCCCACUCCUAAUCCUGAAACCUCGAAACCCAAUGCUCUCCUGCAUGUUUCGAGCUAAAUUUCUCCUACAUCAGCUGACCGCAAUGCUGUAACUUUGGUGAUGAUGAAGAGGUGUAAGCUGAUAAACGCUAUACCAAUGCCCGAACACGUAGUCGGCCUCCUCGUUGGUGAAGAGGAUCGACUUUUAGAUUGUGAAUCUGUGUCUUUGAACAUAGAUGCGCUAGCAUGUAUAUAAACCAUUACUUCUUAAUUCGAUGACAUUAAUAAAUAUAAUUGAUACGUCAUAUUUUGGCCCCGAAGAUAUGCCAAGUCAAAAUUCAUACUAAGGCACUGCUCGACACGUCUACCAUGCCAACCCCCAACGACCGACUCACGUACAGUAAUAUAAAGACCUCUUGCCAGCAUCUGGCUAGGAGGGGAAAAAAGGUGACAAAAUCAAUUGAUCACUCUACUGACUUGUUCGUCAGAGGGGCCUCGUCGGGAAUCACCCGAUGAGGGCCAUUUUUGAAGGAAAACGCAGCCACCUCACGAAGACGAGCUACCAACCACCCGAGAAUCCCCAUCCAGUGCAUGAAGGAGAGCAGCCAAUCGGUCCAAAUCCCAACCAAUGCCAACCAGUACUCCUUCCCGAGGGCAUGACCACCUCACGAAGAUGAGCUGCCAACCACCCUAGAAAAAGAGAGACGUAGCUCGGCAUACACGACGCUCGGAUCGGCACACCAAUGAACGCUGAUCAACACCUCGUCGCAAGGGCCCGGUAGACAUUGGCAUCUAGCUCAAUCAACAGAAGACUCCCGACAUCGACCCGUAGACCAGGCUGUGCUAACUCACCAGCCACAGCACAUUUGUUCACUAACAUUUUGACGCUAGAAGGAGGGCAUGUCGCAGGAGCAACUGAUAGGGGUUCUCCCCGAGGGAGAACCACCGACCGGCCUCCCUUUUGUUGAACCAAAAAGUCAGGCCCUCCCCGCCCCCGGAGACAGGAGGAUCCUGGCUUCGACGCUAGAUCGCUACUAUUGUUUGUUCAAUGACCCGGGAUUGUCACCCCCGGGGCUCACCAUAGGGCCCUCGGUCGUGACACCCGAGGCAUUCCUUAGCCUAACCAAGCAAGUACAUGCCAUGGCGGGCAUGAUGCAGAUGCUCGCUCCAAUCAUUCCUCAGAUCGUGCGGCUAGCGACGCCCCCGACCGACCCAUCCCAACAGCGACCGAACAGGGAGCAGGUCGGGACCGGAGAAGCCCAAGAGCAAGCAACGUACCAGAGAGGUCUGCCCGAGUAGAGCAUACCAGCACCCUGCCGAAUCACACCGCUCCACUCCGGUCUUCUCGAAAACUGGCGAUUCAUGAAAAGGUUCGUCCCCUGGACUCCCGGGCAGACCAAAGGCUGCCCGGCCAACCGUGCCUCCCACAGCACAGCCUACAGUUCCGAUCAAAGUAGCUCCUCGGCCGCAACCGCCUGCGUCGUGCUCCUCGGCCCCAUGUUGCCCGAGACCACACUUGCGCGGCCUGCUCGCCCGAGUCCAGCUCCUCGACCGCAGCCGCCUACGUCGUGCUCCUCGGCCCCAUGCUGCCCGAGACCACACUCGCGCGGCUUGCCCGCCUACGUCGUGUUCCGCGGCCCCAUGCUGCCCGAGACCACACCUACGCGGCUUGCUCGCCCGAGUCUAGCUCCUCGGCCGCAGCCGCCUGCGUCGUGCUCCUCGGCCCCAUGCUGCCCGAAGACCACACCCUCGCGGCCUGCUCUCCUGAGCCCAGUAACCGCUCCUGCGCGGCCUGCCCGCAUGAGGGGCCUACCACCCCUACGGCCGAGCCCAACUUGACCUACGAGUCAUACUUCGGGGUUCCUCGGACCACUCACUACUCAGUGCCACCUCUGCACAUCCAACCCUCGUCAAUUGCCAAGCUCCACGAUUCCCACGCCCUUGGCGAUGAAUCGGUCUCCGCCCGACAGAGAUAGUUCCUUAAAACCGAAGCCAUGCCUCGGACCCCCCUUACGGCAACCGACGCAUAACUUCCUUUGGGAGGGGAGUAUGAUGAGUGUGAUAAUUAUGAUAAGACUUACGUGACAUCAGCUGACGCCCCACGUUUCUGUCGGGCUGACAGCACCUGGCAAACACGGGCCGAAACGGCAACCGAGGCCCAUUAACGACUGCUCAGGCUCUAUCCCUCAUGCCACGCCAACGGCGAUGUCAGACACCGUCAGAGGUACGAUCCUACUCCCUGCGGGCAGGCACAUUAGGUAACACUAAACGUCCCUAUAAAUACCCUCGCGUUCUAAACAAGAGGGGGGAGGGGGGGGGGACAACAGAUAAACACAAACAAACUUCCUGCGACCUUCAACUAACUUGAUCGUCGGAGGGGUCGGGUCAAGCACUCCGACCCGACCCGUGUGCAGGAACGAAGAUGAUGCGACUCUCACCGGACACACCAAGCGAGGAGCCCCUUCCCGGAGGAAACGACGACCCACCUCCACGACUGAACCGACCGAGCCAGCGACCUCAGCGGUCCCGAGGAACCCCCUAUGGAGAUCCCUGUCAUCCGGACCCGAAUCGAACCGCGUCGGCCCCGAGACCACGGCUUAAGGUUGUUUACACUAACACUUACUAUUUUUUAAUAUUUAAUUCCUUCCAACGAAAGAAAGGAACUUGAAUAACGGGAUGAUAUAAUAAAAGGCACAAUAUCAAGAAAAAUUUCUCAAGACUACAUAAAGAAAAAAAAUUCUUUGUAAAAAGAGAAAAAACUAUAUUAAUUAGCAAAAACUAAAAAAACGAAGAGCCGUCGGUAGCCUCCGAGGAAGAACAAAAAGUUGGACAGCCUACNNNNNNNNNNNNNNNNNNNNNNNNNNNNNNNNNNNNNNNNNNNNNNNNNNNNNNNNNNNNNNNNNNNNNNNNNNNNNNNNNNNNNNNNNNNNNNNNNNNNNNNNNNNNNNNNNNNNNNNNNNNNNNNNNNNNNNNNNNNNNNNNNNNNNNNNNNNNNNNNNNNNNNNNNNNNNNNNNNNNNNNNNNNNNNNNNNNNNNNNNNNNNNNNNNNNNNNNNNNNNNNNNNNNNNNNNNNNNNNNNNNNNNNNNNNNNNNNNNNNNNNNNNNNNNNNNNNNNNNNNNNNNNNNNNNNNNNNNNNNNNNNNNNNNNNNNNNNNNNNNNNNNNNNNNNNNNNNNNNNNNNNNNNNNNNNNNNNNNNNNNNNNNNNNNNNNNNNNNNNNNNNNNNNNNNNNNNNNNNNNNNNNNNNNNNNNNNNNNNNNNNNNNNNNNNNNNNNNNNNNNNNNNNNNNNNNNNNNNNNNNNNNNNNNNNNNNNNNNNNNNNNNNNNNNNNNNNNNNNNNNNNNNNNNNNNNNNNNNNNNNNNNNNNNNNNNNNNNNNNNNNNNNNNNNNNNNNNNNNNNNNNNNNNNNNNNNNNNNNNNNNNNNNNNNGCAAUGACAAAAUCAACGAUGCUAAUGAUCAUGUUAGUGCGAUGGGUUCACUCUGUCAUUUGCCUACGCAUACAAUAUAUACAUUAGAAAACACAUAUAUAUUGAAAUUGCAUAGUUCGUCGUGAUCCUUUCUAAUCCCACACCAUGGGCUUUUAGCGGAUGAUGAGAUGGGACAUACCUCGGUAUCUCAGUCAAGUCAUAGCUCAUUCGUUAGAGGAUUUAUUAUAAUAAUUAUUGAGAGAUUAUAGAUUUUCUUUUAUCUUGUUUUCAUUUUUAAUUCAUCACUCGUAGUAAUCUUAUGAAAGAUAAAAAGAAAAGAGAAUGAGAUUAGUAGUGUUGUUGUGGGCGACUACUAUAGCAACAUCGCUACCACUUGGAUGAUUGUUGUAGCUUGUUGCGAUUGUAGCAUUACCGUUGCUUAGGGCAACUAUAGCAAUGUCGUUGCGGCAUUUGUUGGCCACGGUCGAUGUCAACUAUACGUAAAAGACCAUGAUACUCAGUGGUUGCAUGACAAACUCGUAAGCACUAGUGGGUGCCACGAUGACUAUGUGGUUGCUAGUUGGUACAAAAUCACGUGUGGCUACGAUGACGAUGAGGUCGUUGAUAAGUCGCAUGCGAAGAGCUAUGCAACCACGAGCGACGAAUGACCAGUGCACCAUCAACGAGGCAUCCAAGUAUGGGCAUAGUGGGAUGCGAUGACAACAUGAGAAUUUGAUUUUUUUUUUAAGCAUAUUCAACGACAUUUGUUGGUCACGGUCGAUAUCAACUAGACGUAAAAGAUCAUGAUACUCAGCGGAUGCAUGACAAACUCGUAAGCAUUAGUGGGUGUCACGAUGACUAUGUGGUUGCUAGUUGGUACAAAAUCACGUGUGGCUACGAUGAUGAUGAGGUCGUUGAUAAGUCGCAUGCGAAGAGCUAUGCAACCACGAGGGACGCAAGCGACGAAUGACCAGUGCACCAUCAACGAGGCAUCCAAGUGUGGGCAUAGUGGGAUGCGAUGAUAAUUUGAUUUUCUUUAAAGCAUAUUUUUAUGCCUCGAACGCAUCUUGAUAUAAGAAAAUUAUAUCUCCUAAGGGCUCUUCACUGAUUUAAUCACGUGAGGAGAAGCGCAAGUAAAAUUCUCCAGCAUCAUUAGAAUUCAUGAAGUGAUAUAUAAUACGAAUUACGGCCAGACCUAAACAAAAGAGGAAUCUCUCGAGUGUGGCGUGCACCGGUGUGCAAAAAGUGGUGGUUUGGUCAGUGUUAGCCCGAUAGGUACGGCGAGUGUGGCGUGCACCGGCCUGUUAUCCUUCCACCGUCAAGAGCGGGAGGUUAUCGCUGCUCUGUGAAACCAGCCUGACGCGGUGUCCUCCGCUUUAGGAUCCCAGAUGGCUCGGGCCUUCGUUCGGGCCACAUAGCUCAGCUGCCUGACUUGGAACGGGCAAGCCAAGUCUAGCACGACCGCACCCAACCUAUUCGGGCUGAACACAACAUCCCACCACCUUAUUGCCCCCACUCGGGUUACAAGCCGGCGUUACCGGGCUCGGCGA